RNAcentral lists this long non-coding RNA (47936 nucleotides) under Triticum aestivum (bread wheat). RNAcentral describes it as "long non-coding RNA (TAES_LNC005388)". The stretch from base 31735 to 31863 matches the Rfam family "MIR1120/MIR1122 microRNA precursor family". Lineage: Eukaryota; Viridiplantae; Streptophyta; Magnoliopsida; Poales; Poaceae. The record is from RNAcentral.
CCAAAUAUAGCAUCUGUUGUGAUCUGAGAAUCAAUUCUUGCUAUGAAUUACCGCAUAUUUUAAUGAGAAUCAUAUAAAGGGUUCAUUUACUUGUCACUUGUUUCUUUUGCAGAAAAGUGCGCAAAGGCACUAUAAUCAUCAAGAUUCCGAAUAUAUGGCUAACCAGAAGAGAGAAGGGCAUGAAAGAAAUACGUCAAGGACUUCAGUGAGAAGAAAAGAAGUAUCCAAGGGAGCAAACUAAAAGAAGAAGGGGAUCUUCUUGGGAAGAAAUGAAUAGAAGAGGAGGGCCAAAUCAUAAAAGUGGCAGAUCAGAUGGGGAUCAAAAUCCCUAGAUGCAUCCAUUCCCAAAUCGGGCCUGGCUACACCUCUCUCUCCCUCACCUCUCCUCCAGCUCCGGCCGCUGCCACGGCCAGGCCGGCGUGGUGGUGCGCCUCCCAUCCAUCAGCGCCGCAAGCCAUCACCAUCUCCAUCCAUCUCCACGCACCAUCCAUCAACGCCGCCACCAGCGCCGCAUCACCACCUCGCACCCCCAGCACAUCACACCACGAGCUCCUCACUGAACCUCCUGCCACCGAUCUGAAGCUCUUGUUCUUCUCUCAACGCCCCUGAUGCUCCUUCUCCUUGCACCUCCUUGUUGCUGCUCUUCCCCUCCUUUUCUGCUACUCAAAUCUCUCUGCUGCUCCCUCACGCUCCUGCCUGCCGCUGCUCUUUCUCUAACCUCCCCACGCCUCUGCUCUGCUUCCUCACCUCCAUUGCUGCUCCCUUCUUCUCAACGUGACCUGCUGCCGCACCUUCUGCUCCUUAUCUCCUUCUUCAACCUGCUGCUGCUCGCCCUCAACCCUCUCUGCUGCUUUUCUUCUCCCUCAACGCCUGCUGCUGAUUCCUCUCAACGCCCCCUACUACUUCUUUCUUCUUCCACCUGCUGCUGCUUCUCUUUAGAUCCACAAAAACUGCUGCUGCUGCUCUCUCUCUCUCUCUCUGAAUUUUCUAUAAGCUAAGAUGUGUAAAAUUUUGUAAUAUUCAGAUUUUUAAGAGUGUUGGCAACAUGUAGCUUGUUCUGUUUGGUACUUGUAAUAUAUAAUGCUUGUCUUGAAUUUCUGUAGGCUGUGAGAAAUAAUUGUCCUUGAAAUCUUGCUCUGUGAUUUAGUAACCUUCUAGUAUAUUUGUGUGAUCACCUUGUGUACUAGUCCCUGUACUAGUUCUCUGUACUUAUCCUAUUUGUAGUCUCUGUGUGUGUUAGCUCUAGUACCUGUGAUAUGUAUGAGUGUUUGUGUUGUGAUAUAUUUCUGUCCCUAUCAUAUUAGCUUGUUUCUUUCCUUCUGUCAUUGCUUGUUAUAUAUGUCUAUGUUUUUUUGAACUCCCUUAUCAUUGUUGCUAGUAUUGUAGUUCUCAAGUAAAACGAAAACACAAAAAAAUACAUUGAGUAAAAUCUGAACCUUCUUGUGCUGUUUGCAUUUUAUCACUGUUUUCACCACCCAAUUGUGUCACCUAGAUUUAGUCGAGCAUAGUCGUCGUCGCCUAGUCCCUGAGGAGAACACAACAUCCGUAGUUUGGGGCGUAAAAACCCCACUAUACUUUCAAUAGAUCAUUUUGGCGCCGUUGCCGGUGACUAGCGUCGAGCGAUUGUGCGAAGCUAUAGACUAGGCUUAGUAUAGUUUUUGUUUAAAUUUCCAGUCAAAUUUAUUUCUGUGUUUCUUUUACCUUUUUACUUUUUGUUGCUUCGGCUUAUUAGGAUACUAACCCUCUCACCAAUGUUUGAUGUUUGUGAGCGUGUGUAGGAUAUCUUAUUAUUUGUAGGCUGAUUAACAGUUUCACUUGAACAUAUGGCUUUAGUACGCGAUCUUUGGUUGCCAAGUAGUUUGGACACGAUGACAGGGCCAAUUUGGCCAUCUAUUGAGGCCGAAAAUUUUGAGUUGAGGCCUGGACUUAUUGCUCUCGUCUUGUAGAAUCAGUUUAGAGGAUUACCCAAUGAAGACCCUCAUGAGCAUAUUAGUAAUGUUCUGGAGUAUGCCAAUACAGUCCAGUAUCAUGGCGUUUCCCAAGAUGCUAUCAAGUGUAUGUUGUUCACAUUCUCUCUCCGAGAUGCUGCUAAGGACUGGUACUAUUCUUUGCCAUCAAGAUCAUACACUUGGGGUGAUAUUUCACAAGCUUUCCUGCAUAGAUAUUUUUCACUUUAUAAGCAAGCUGCAAUUCGUGACCAGAUCCUCAGUUUUGCGCAAGAUGGUAGUGAGAGCUUGUAUGCAGCUUGAGAGAGAUAUAAGUAUUUGCUUAGAAAAUGUCCUAAUCAUGGGCAAAAGGAUUGGUUAGUGCUUCAGAUAUUCUAUAGAGGGCUGACACAUGCUUCAAGAGAUCGUAUUGAUAUGUCAGCUGGUGGAACAAUCAUGAACAAGACCGUUGAGGGUGCAAUUAUUCUCAUUGAGAGCACUGCCUUCCACCAAAUGCAAUGGGGUUAUGAAAGGCCUAGUUCAAAUCUGAAGGUUGCAAGCCUCGUGCAAUCAGAAGUCGUGUGUUCCAUAAGUGAACAGAAAUCAUCCAUGGCGCCUAAUAUUCAAAACCAGCAUGUUUCAUUCUGGGGACAACAACAUUUCAUAAUUGAAUUAGAUCCUCCAUAUAGAAAGAUUGAUCUUACUUCAAUUAUCCUUGAUGAUGAUUAUGACAUUUUUCAAGAUGAUGAAACUACUGUAGAUCAGAUGGAAACCACAGUAGCAGAUCCAAUACCUCAUGGCAAUGAAACUGUCCAGAAUGAGUCAAAGUUGCAAGAAGAUGUUUAUGAGGAACCUACUCUGAUUGAUGCUAAGUUGAGACAACAAGAUAUGGAGAAAUUCAUUUGUGUUAGUCAACUAUGUGACUGGUGGAAUUUAGUCGUGUCACCAAUUGCCCACACUUGUGUUUCAACUGUACCUGGGCUAUUUGUCAAGAAGAAAUCAUUAGCUCCACCGGUGGUUGCCUCUAUCACAGUUAAAGAAAGUAUCUCAGAGAAGAAUAAUGAAGAUGAGAUUCCAACUCCUGCACAUACAACUAAGCAAGUCGGAGACAUUCCAAGGAGAGAGAUACAAGAGGUUGAGUCAAAUUUAGAAGAGUCGAUACUUCAAUAUCCUGAGAAGAUCCCACAUGUUGUUGAGCUGCAUGACUGGUGGAAGUCAUCAGUGUCACUGUUGAAACUUAGCAGUGAUGGUGAUGAGGAGAACAUUGCUCAGAAAGACAGCAAGGUAGUGAUCUCAGCACCCCUACCAGAUCAUGUUAGUGAAUAUUCACAGAUGGGGACACUUCAGACUCAAUUAAGUGUUGCUGGUUGUAGCACCAUAGAAGAUCCAGAGGAAGAGAGUCCUCAACUUGAAGAAGAUUUACAAGAAGACAAGGAACAAGAUGAUCAAGAGCUGCAAUUUCCAAGUGAUCAAGUUGAAGACUCAUCAUCUACUAUUUCUAAAGAAGUUCAGGAAGCUGCUGUAAAUCAAGAUGAAGAACCUGAGAUUCAUUGGCCUAUUGUCAUACAUGAACCUGAUGUGUCAGGUUUACCCAAUCCUCUUGAUGACAUGCUGCCUUGUGAUUUCUUUGCUUCUAACUUGCAUUGCAUGAUGCCAUCACUUAAGGUAGAUUUGAAAAAUUGUUUGCUUGGACAUGAUCAUACACACCCUGUUAGUGGCGUUGCUCAUAUCUCUGUUCAUGAUACUUAUGUUCCUGAUGCUAUACCCAUGCUUAAUGAAACGUGUGAUUCUAAUACUAGCAUUGAGCUUACUGAUUUGUACCAUCCUAAACAUGUGCUUUAUAGCUAUGCUUAUGUAAUUGGGUACUCUAUUGAUGAUUUAGAGGGCAUUACCCCUUUCACUUGUAUGGUCUCUUUUGUCGAGUGCUCUUUCAGGUUUUUGCUACUGCACCGUUCACUACAUGCUGACCAAGUUCGAGGUGACAUUCCUUGGGACCCCGGUGGAUUUAGAGCAUGGUGAAGAGGAGAAGCAAUGGGCACAUACAAGGAAGAGAAAAGAUGGAGCAUGCACGAGGAUAGAGAGCAUGAGGAUAGAGAAGUAAAAGGAGAGGAGCUGCAGUUGGUGAGGUGAUGGAGCGAGUUCUACUUCAUAAAGCCCGGUGAGCUGUUUCAUGACCCCAGUCUGAAUAUAUCAUCCAUUGAUACAUGCUGAAAUCAAUUGCUAUUUGAGUUGCUUAAGCCAUUUCUUAAAUAAUGUCCCACUGAAUUUUAUUUGACAUAUGGUGCUUGAUGUGAAUUUGUAACUGAUUUGUGAAUGCCUUGUAAACUAGUGAUCUACAUUCUGCAUGCUUUGCUGUAAUUAGUGAAGGUUAUUAGUUUUGAGUGCUCAAAUCCCUAGUACAUUAGAAAACUUCAUCAUUUUCUGCAUUUACUUUGAUACACCUAGAUCAUCAAGUGUCAGAUGCUGAAUUUGUGCUAAGUGUGUUCCUAUUGAGAGCAAUCACCUAACCACUAUGGAUUAGCAUGCUAUGUUCCCUGGAUCGGUAGUAUGUGAACCAGACAUGGAUGAGUGAUGAUUCUUGUUUUUGUUCAUUUGAAAAGUAAAAAAAAACUAUAUCUUAUAAUGAAUGAAUAAGUCUGAUUCUUCGGAGGAUGACGAUCUUAACAUAUUUAUGAUCUUCAAGACUUCUCUUCAAAUAAUCGGCGUAAGAGGGCACUCCGCGACCUCGCCGAAAUUCACGAAGUAACCACAAUGAGCCCAUGGAACGACACGGCAAUAACCUUCAUCGUCGACGACGAACCAAGGGCCCGAUCAGUCCGAGCACACGCUUCCUUGGUUCUAAACCCUAUUGUGGACGGCUUUCGACUUACCAAAGUGCUCAUGGACGGCGACAGUGGGCUUAACCUCAUCUACGACGACACGCUCGAAAAAAUGCACAUUGACAAAACACACAUCGAGCAAAGCAAUACCACCUUUCGAGGCAUCAUCCCCAGUCGAGAAGCACGAUGUUCGGGGACAAUCAAACUGGAUGUAGUAUUCAGCACGCCUGAGAACUACAGGUCCGAAGAGUUGCUCUUCCACGUGGCUCCCUUUAAUAGCGGAUAUCACGCCCUUUUGGGACGGGACGCUUUCUCAUGCUUCCAAGCCAUACCCCAUUACGGGUACAUGAAGCUUAAAAUGCCAGGGCCCAACGGAAUAAUCACAUUUAGGAGUGAUCUGGAUAAAGCACUCGGCGCCGAAAACAAAAACGCAACCUUGGCUCUUAAGACACUAUCCAAAGCCCUUGCGGCCGAAGAACUAACCACCCUGUGAUCCACGGUGGACAAGGAUGAUGUGAUUCUCGAUAAGAUACCUAAAUCCACUUCUUUCAAGCUAGCAGAUGAAAUAAUUAAAUUCAAAGUACACCAAAUGGAUCCUAAUAAAACAACAUCCAUUGGAGCACAGCUGGAUCCGAUGGUAGAUGCCGCCCUAGGCGUGUUCCUACGCGAAAAUUGGUAUAUCUUCGCUUGGCACCCUUCGGACAUGCCCGGGAUCCCACGCAGACUGGCCGAACACAACCUCAACAUAAUCAAAGGGUUCAAACCAGUCAAGCAAACGCUACGAUGAUUUUUCGAACACAAACGACAAGCUAUGGGGGAGGAGCUAGCCAAACUACUCGAGGUCGGGUUCAUCAGAGAAAUCAAACACCCGGAUUGGCUAGCCAACUUGGUCAUGGUGCCGAAGAAGGAUAAAUCUUGGCGCCUUUGUGUCGAUUUUCAAGACCUCAAUAAGGUUUCCCCAAAGACCAUUUUCUGUUGCCCUGCAAUGACCAGAUUAUCGACGCGAUUGUGGGACACGGCUCAUUGUGUUUCCUCGAUGCUUACUCUGGAUACCAUCGGAUUAAAAUGAAGGAGGCCGACCAGGCCGCUGCAGCGUUCAUUACCCCGUACGAGCCUUUUUGUUUCAACACUAUGCCUUUUGGGCUUAAAAACGCGGGUGCCACUUACCAACGCAUGAUUCAAACAUGUUUGGAAAAACAAAUCGGUAAGAUAGUGGAAGCAUAUGUGGGUGACACGUCACCGUCGUAUCUACUUUUCCAAACACUUUUGCCCUUGUUUUGGACUCUAACUUGCAUGAUUUGAAUGGAACUAACCCGGACUGACGUUGUUUUCAGCAGAAUUGCCGUGGUGUUAUUUUUGUGCAGAAAUAAAAGUUCUCGGAAUGACCUGAAAAUCAACGGAGAAUUAUUUUGGAAUAUAUAAAAAUACUGGAAGAAAGAUCCAUGUCAGGGGGGCCUCCACCUGUCCACGAGGGUGGGGGCGCGCCCCUUGCCUCGUGGGCCCCAUGACGCUGCACCGCUCUCAACCCUAACUCCAUAUAUUCACUUUCAGGGAGAAAAAACCAGAGAGAAGAAUUCAUCACGUUUUACGAUACGGAGCCGCCGCCAAGCCCUAAACUCUCUCGGGAGGGCUGAUCUGGAGUCCGUUCGGGGCUUUGGAGAGGGGAAUCCGUCGCCAUCGUCAUCAUCAACCUUUCUCCAUCACCAAUUUCAUGAUGCUCACCGCUGUGCGUGAGUAAUUUCAUCGUAGGCUUGCUGGAUGGUGAUGGGUUGGAUGAGAUUUAUCAUGUAAUCGAGUUAGUUUUGUUAGGGUUUGAUCCCUAGUAUUUACUAUAUUCUGAGAUUAAUGUUGCUAUGACUUUGCUAUGCUUAAUGCUUGUCACUAGGGCCCGAGUGUCAUGAUUUGAGAUCUGAAUCUAUUAUGUUUUCACCAAUAUAUGAGAGUUCUUGAUCCGAUCUUGCAAGUCUAUAGUCACCUAUUAUGUGUUAUGAUCCGUUAACCCCGAAGUGACAAUAAUCGGGAUACUUACAGGUGAUGAUCGUAGUUUAAGGAGUUUAUGUAUUCACUAAGUGUUAAUGUUUUGUUCUGGUACUCUAUUAAAAUGGGGCCUUAAUAUCCCUUAGUUUCCAAUAGGAUCCCGCUGCCACGGGAGGGUAGGACAAAAAAUGUCAUCCAAGUUCUUUUCCAUAAGCACGUAUGACUAUAUUCGGAAUACAUGCCUACAUUACAUUGAUGAACUGGAGCUAGUUUUGUGUCACCUAGGUUAUGACUGUUACAUGAUUGAUCACAUCUGGCAUAAUUCUCCAUCACCGAUUCAAUGCCUACGAGCUUUUCAUAUAUUGUUCUUCGCUUAUUUACUUUUCCGUUGCUACUGUUACAAUCACUACAAAACCCAAAAAUAUUACUUCUGCUAUCGUUACCUUUUUCCACCGUUACCACUACUACCAUAUUGCUUUGCUACUAAAUACCUUGCUGCAGAUAUUAAGUUUCCGGCUGUGGUUGAAUUGACAACUCAGCUGCUAAUACUUAAGAAUAUUCUUUGGCUCCCCUUGUGUCAAAUCAAUAAAUUUGGAUUGAAUACUCUACCCUCGAAAACUGUUGCGAUCCCCUAUAAUUGUGGGUUAUCAAGAACAUUUUCUAGUGCCGUUGCCGGGGAGCAUAACUCUAUUCUUUGAGUCACUUGGGAUUUAUAUCUGCUUAUCAUUAUGAAGAACUUGAAAGAUCAAAGAACUAAGAUUUUUCCCUCAACUACGAGGGAAGGUAACAAACUGCCAUCUAGCUCUGCACUCGAUUCACCUUCUGUUUUGAGUAAGCUUGCGACACCUAAACCUGCUUCUGCUAUUAAUUCUGAUAUGUCGCUGAUACGUCUUCAAUGUAUCUAUAAUUUUUGAUUGUUCCAUGCUAUUAUAUUAUCAACCUUGGAUGUUUUAUAUUCAUUUAUAUGAUAUUUUAUAUGAUUUUUGGGACUAACCUAUUAACCUAGAGCCCAGUGCCAGAUUCUGUUUUUCCCCUUGUUUUAGAGUAUCGCAGAAAAGGAAAAUCAAACGGAGCCCAAUUGACCUGAAACUUCACGAAACUUAUUUUUGGACCAGAAGAAGCCCACGGAGUAUCAGAGAUGGACCAGAAGAGUCCUGGGCUGCCCAUGAGGAUGGGGUCCGCACCCACCCCCCUGGGCGCGCCCCCCUGCCUCGUGGACAGCCCGGAGAUCCACCGACAUACUUCUUCCUCCUAUAUAUAUACCCAUAUACCCUAAAACCUUCGGGGAACAGAAUAGAUCGGGAGUUCCGCCGCCAGAAGCCUCCGUAGCCAUCGAAAACCAAUCUAGACCCGUUCCGGCACCCUGCCGAAGGGGGAACCCCUCAUCGGUGGCCAUCUUCAUCAUCCCGGCGCUCUCCAUGACAAGGAGGGAGUAGUUCUCCCUCGGGGCUGAGGGUAUGUACCAGUAGCUAUGUGUUUGAUCUCUCUCUCUCUCUCUCUCGUGUUCUUGAGGUGGUACGAUCUUGAUGUAUCGCGAACUUUGCUAUUAUAGUUGGAUGUUAUGAUGUUUCUCCCCCUCUACUCUCUUGUAAUGAAUUGGGUUUUCCCUUUGAAGUUGUCUUAUCAGAUUGAGUCUUUAAGGAUUUGAGAACACUUGAUGUAUGUCUUGCACGUGCUUAUCUGUGGUGACAAUGGGAUAUCAUGUGAUCCACUUGAUGUAUGUUUUGGUGAUCAACUUGCGGGUUCCGCCCAUGAACCUAUGCAUAGGGGUUGGCACACAUUUUUGUCUUGACUCCGGUAGAAACUUUGGGGCACUCUUUGAAGUACUUUGUGCUGGUUUGAAUAGAUGAAUCUGAAAUUGUGUGAUGUAUAUCGUAUAAUCAUACCCACGGAUACUUGAGGUGACAUUGGAGUAUCUAGGUGACAUUAUGGUUUUGGUUGACUUGUGUCUUAAGGUGUUAUUCUAGUACGAACUCUAUGAUAGAUUGAACGGAAAGAAUAGCUUCAUUAUUUUACUACAGACUCUUGAAUAGAUUGAUCAGAAAGGAUAACUUUGAGGUGGUUUCGUACCCUACCAUAAUCUCUUCGUUUGUUCUCCGUUAUAGUAACUUUGGAGUGACUCUUUGUUGCAUGUUGAGGGAUAGUUAUAUGAUCCAAUUAUGUUAUUAUUGUUGAGAGAACUUACACUAGUGAAAGUAUGAACCCUAGGCCUUGUUUCCUAGCAUUGCAAUACUGUUUGUGCUCACUUUUAUCAUUAGUUACCUUGUUGUUUUCAUAGUUUUAGAUUUCAAAAACCUAUAUCUACCAUCCAUAUUGCACUUGUAUCACCAUCUCUUCACCGAACUAGUGCACCCAUACAAUUUACCAUUGUAUUGGGUGUGCUGGGGACACAAGAGAUUCUUUGUUAUUUGGUUGCAGGGUUGCUUGAGAGAGACCAUUUUCAUCCUACGCCUCCCACGGAUUGAUAAACCUUAGGUCAUCCACUUGAGGGAAAUUUACUACUGUCCUACAAACCUCUGCACUUGGAGGCCCAACAACAUCUAUAAGAAGAAGGUUGUGUAGUAGACAUCAGUCGCAUGUUAUUGAUGAUGCCACUUCUGCUAUGCAUGAUACUUAUGAUGAAACUACUUCCAUGCUUGAUACUACUAUGCCACUAGGUGAAUUUCUUUAUGAACAACUUGCUAGGGCUAGAGAGAAUGAAAUUAUUGAAACUAAUAAUAUUGAUAAAAGUGAUGAUGAAGAUUCUCCCCCUAGAUAUGAAUUACCUGUUAUUCCUGAGGGUUAUGUUAUGGAUGAAGAAACUGCUAGAGACUUUCUUGCUUGCAAUAAUAGGAGUGAUCUUAAGAAACAUUUAGCUAAGCUGAAACAAAAAACUUUGAAUGCUAGAAUGAAAUAUGAUCCUGCUUAUGCUACUUCACCUAUCUUUGUUACCGAUAAGGAUUAUGAUUUCUCUGUUGAUCCUGAGUUAAUUACUUUGGUUAAAUCUGAUCAUUUCUAUGGCUAUGAAUCUGAAACUGUUGUGUCACAUCUUACUAAAUUAAAUGAUAUAGCUGCCCUGUUCACUAAUGAUGAGAAAAGUCGCUACUAUUAUAUCCUUAGAUUAUUUCCGUUCUCAUUAAAGGGUGAUGCUAAGAUAUGGUUUAGUUCUCUUGAUCCUGGUUGUGUGCGUAGUCCCCAGGAUAUGAUUUACUACUUCUCUGCUAAAUAUUUCCCCGCUCAUAAGAAACAAGUUGCUUUAAGGGAGAUAUAUAAUUUUGUGAAAAUUGAAGAAGAGAGUCUCCCACAAGCUUGGGGGAGGCUUCUCCAAUUACUUAAUGCUUUGCCUGAUCAUCCUCUCAAGAAAAAUGAAAUACUUGAUAUCUUUUAUAAUGGACUAACCGAUGCUUUCAGAGACUACCUGGAUAGUUGUGUUGGUUGUGUUUUCAGGGAAAGAACAUUUGAUCAAGUUGAAUUUCUAUUGAAUAAUAUGUUGACUAAUGAAAAUAAUUGGACACUUCCUGAACCAACUCCUAAGCCAACUUCGAAGAAAAGGGGUAUUAUAUUUCUCGGUCCUGAAGAUAUGCAAGAGGCAAAGAAAUUUAUGAAAGAAAAAGGUAUUAAAGCUGAAGAUGUUAAGAAUUUACCUCCUAUUGAAGAAAUACAUGGUCUUAAUUUGCCGCCUGUUGAAGAAACACAUGGUCUCCAUAACCCGACACAUGUAGUAAAGGUAAUUUCUCUCUAUAGAUAUGAUAAAGCUGAAAUCCCUCCUGCUAAGUUUGCUAGCCAAUGUUUGGAUGAAUUUGAUAACUUUAGGGUUAAGUAAGAAGAUUUUAAUGCUUAUGUUGGUAGACAAUUGAAACAUAAUGCUUACAUGAUUGAAUACUUGAGUGAUUAUAUGGCUAAUGUUAAAGGUGAACUUAAACUUAUUAGUAAACAUGCUUCUAUGGUUACCACUCAAGUAGAACAAGUACUUAAAGCUCAAAAUGAUUUGCUCAAUGAAUUAAAUAGUAAGAAAAAUAAUGACUAUGCUGUUAGAGUUGCAACUAGAGGAGGUAAAGUGACUCACGAACCUUUGUAUCCUGAAGGCCACCCUAAGAGAAUUGAGAAAGAUUCUCAGAGAGCUAAUAUAGAUGCACCUAGUCCUUCUAAGAGGAAGAAAAAGAAAAAUGAUAGGACUUUGCAUGCUUCUAGUGAACCUGUUAUUGACACACCUGAGAAUCCCAAUGAUAUUUCUAUUUCUGAUGCUGAAACACAAUCUGGUAAUGAACAUGAACCUAGUGAUAAUGUUAAUGAUGACGUUCAUGUUGAUGCUCAACCUAGCAAUGACAAUGAUGUAGAUAUUGAACCUGUUGUUGAUCUUGAUAACCCACAAUCAAAGAAUCAACGUUAUGAUAAGAGAGACUUUGUUGCUAGGAAGCACAGUAAAGAAAGAGAACCAUGGGUUCAGAAACCCAUGCCUUUCCUCCUAAACCAUCCAAGAAAAGGGAUGAUGAGGAUUUUGAGCGCUUUAUUGAAAUUUUUAGACCUAUCUUUUUGCGUAUGCGUUUGACUGAUAUGCUUAAAAUGAAUGCUUAUGCUAAAUACAUGAAGGAAAUAGUUACUAGUAAAAGAAAGAUACCGGAAGCUGAAAUUUCCACCAUGCUUGCUAAUUAUACUUUUAAGGGUGGAAUACCAAAGAAACUUGGAGAUUCAGGAGUACCAACUAUACCAUGCUCCAUUAAAAGAAACUAUGUUAAAACUGCUUUAUGUGAUCUUGGAGCCGGUGUUAGUGUUAUGCCUCUCUCUUUAUAUCGUAGACUUGAUUUGAAUAAGUUGACACCUACUGAAAUAUCUUUGCAAAUGACUGACAAAUCAACUGCUAUACCUGUCAGUAUUUGUGAGGAUGUGCCUGUUGUGGUUGGAAAUGUUACUAUUUUAACAAACUUUGUUAUUCUUGAUAUUCCUGAGGACGAUAGUAUGUCUAUUAUUCUUGGAAGACCCUUUUUGAAUACUGCAGGGGCUGUUAUUGAUUGCACCAAAGGCAAUGUCAUUUUUCAUGUUAAUGGUAAUGACCAUACGGUACACUUUCUGAGGAAACAACCUCAAAUUCACAGUAUCAAUUCUAUUGCAAAAAUUUCAACAAUCAAUAUUGGAGGUUUUGAAUUUCCUCUUCCUACUGUCAAGAAGAAAUAUGAUAUUCUUAUUGUUGGGGACAUGCAUAUCCCCAUUGAGGUAACCUAGUGUUAUUCGAAAAUUCUCCGGUUCCAUGUUAUUCGGAAUGAGUUUGUUAACAAGACCUGAUCAACCUUGUUAGUGGAUUCCUUUUGAUGAGUAUGAGGUGGAUUAAUUUAGAAAACACAACUCUCUGUACCCUCUUUUUAAUUUCUAUUAUUUAUAUUAAAUAAAGCAAAAAUAGUAUUUUUCUGUCUGUUUUCUGAAUUAUCAAUGCAAUAAAAAAUACCCCGAAAAUAAAAGUUCUCCAAAUGCACUGAAAAUUAAAUAUGAUUUUUUCUAGAAUAUUUGAGAAUAUCUGGCACUGAGAACACACCAGGGGGAGCAAGCACCUGGCCACGAGGGCCCAGGGCGUGCCCCCUGCCUCGUGGGCUCAUGGUGGCUCCCCUCCACUUAUUCCAGCUACCAUACACUCCUUCUUCCUCCCACAAACAUCACUAGCCAGCUCAAACCCGAGUCCAAGCUCAUCUUGCUUCCAUUUUCGAUCUCCUUGUUCAAAGCUCCAUUCACAAAACUGCUUUGGGGGAUUGUUCUUUGGUAUGUGACUCCUCCAAUGGUCCAAUUAGUUUUUGUUCUAGUGCUUUAUUCAUUGCAUAUUUUUGCUGCUUAGGUGACCCUGUUCUUGAGCUUGCAUGCCAAAUUUAUGUGGUCAAAAGUAGUUUUGAUGCAUGAUAUUGCCUCUAGGCACUUGUAAGAGUAGUUGCUAUCAAUAUUGUUGAGUUUGGUUCACUUUUAUUUUGAAGUUACUAAAAAUUUCAGAAAUUUUUCAGAGGAAGAAACAUGUUUAGGAAAAUGUACCAAGGUGGUUCUUCAAGGAAGCAAGCACCCAGACUCGUAAUACGCGAUGCGGACGAGGAACCACCAAGGGAUGCUCAAGUGCGGCCCUGUGAAUGGCCGUCGGAGGACUUCAUGAUUCAAGCAGGAAUCAAGGAGGAAUUUGAUGCAUAUGUGCGUAAUGUUGAUCUUGAGAGCUUCGAGGCAGAUAAGUGUCAUCCAUACCUCUAUUUAACUGAUUCAUUUGUGGGAAGGUUUAAAUUUUCUUCGUCACACAAUUGUUAAACUGUCCUGUUUGAUCUUUAUGAUAAAUCUUAUACAAUGGACCUAGAAGAUUUUACCACUGCUUGUAAAGUUCCACAGUGGGGUGAUGUUAGUGAACCUCACAAAUCUGAAUUUAGAGAUUUUCUUGCUAGUAUAACUGUGAGGAAAUCUAGAGAUGUGACGCAAGCUACCAUAGGGAUCAUUUAUUUUCCUGCUAUACAUUAUUCUGCUCUCUUCAUAGGUAGAUGCAUUAAUGGUAAAGAUGAAGCAUGUUACAUGUGUGUGCCUGAUCUUAGCGUUCUCAGAAGCGCUAUUUUAGGAGAUAAACAAUACAACUUGGGGGCUAUCAUUGCACGUAGGUUGCAUAAUAAUCGUAUUCAUGGAGAUUUCUUUGGUGAAAUUUAUGCAACCCGUAUAGCUAACUUUCUUGAGAUACCCAUACGUGGACAUGAUAUUGAGUUGCCUCCUUCUUAUCUAGAUUACGAGGCUAUGGUUCUUCAUCAGUUUGUUGAGAGGAACGAUCAGUUCCUCCAGUACCGACUAAUCUUUGACAGACAACGCACCUAUCACGUCGCUCUCCCUGCUCCUACUUUCUUUGACUUUCAGGCAAAGGGGAGAUAUGUUAUAACCAGGGAGGAGGUGACCGAGUAUGAGAUGAGGGCGAAGACAGCUCGCCUCCAAGCUGCAGCGCAUCAGGCAAUUGCCGCUGCAUCUCAGUACGACCCCAGCUACAACUUUGGGUAUCUUCCAGGCCAUCCGUGGCCAUAGACCAACUUAGGCCGAAAGCCUAAGCUUGGGGAGUACGUAUUUCUCACCGGCAUUACAUUCAUAUUCACACACUCAUGCUAGUUGUCGGUGCUCAUACUUUUUCAUUGUAAUAUCCAUGCUAGUUUAUUUCCCUUUUAUGCUUUCUCCUUGUGUGUAUGAAAAACCUUAAGAAAAAAACAAAAAAAAUUAGUUGUAGCUUUUAGCUAGUUUACUUUUCAUGCCUGUAGUAGUAAUAAUUAAAAAGAAACCCCAAAAAGAUUUCUCGUUCUUCUUUUGCUUGUUGGGAGCUUUCCCGUGUAAAUAAUUUUAUUUCUUUUCUUGUUCUUUGGGGGUCGAGAGGAGAAGACCAUAUUGAAAAUGUUGAGUGGCUCUUAUAUGUGAUAACCCACAAGUAUAGGGGAUCGCAACAGUUUUCGAGGGUAGAGUAUUCAACCCAAAUUUAUUGAUUCGACACAAGGGGAGCCAAAGAAUAUUCUCAAGUAUUAGAAGCUGAGUUGUCAAUUCAACCACACCUAGAAACUUAAUAUCUGCAGCAAAGUAUUUAGUAGGAAAGUAAUAUGAUAGUAGUGGUAAUGAUAGCAAAAGGUAAUGAUAACAGAAGUAAUGUUUUUGGUGUUUUGUAGUGAUUAUAGCAAUAGCAACGAAAAAGUAAAUAAGUGAAGAACAAUAUAUGGAAAGCUCGUAGGCAAUGGAUCGGUGAUAGAGAAUUAUGCCGGAUGCGGUUCAUCAUGUAACAGUCAUAACCUAGGGUGACACAGAACUAGCUCCAAUUCAUCAAUGUAAUGUAGGCAUGUAUUCCGAAUAUAGUCAUACGUGCUUAUGGAAAAGAACUUGCAUGUCAUCUUUUGUCCUACCCUCCCGUGGCAGCGGGGUCCUAGUGGAAACUAAGGAUAUUAAGGCCUCCUUUUAAUAGAGUACCGGACCAAAGCAUUAACACAUAGUGAAUACAUGAACUCCUCAAACUACGGCCAUCACCGGGAGUGGUCCCGAUUAUUGUCACUUCGGGGUUGCCGGAUCAUAACACAUAGUAGGUGACUAUAGACUUGCAAGAUAGGAUCAAGAACUCUCAUAUAUUGAUGAAAACAUAAUAGGUUCAGAUCUAAAAUCAUGGCACUCGGGCCCUAGUGACAAGCAUUAAGUAUAGCAAAGUCAUAGCAACAUCAAUCUCAGAACAUAGUGGAUACUAGGGUCAAACCCUAACAAAACUAACUCGAUUACAUGAUAAAUCUCAUCCAACCCAUCACCGUCCAGCAAGCCUACGAUGGAAUUACUCACGCAUGGCGGUGAGCAUCAUGAAAUUGGUGAUGGAGGAUGGUUGAUGAUGACGAUGGCGACGGAUUCCCCUCUCCGGAGCCCAGAACGGACUCCAGAUCAGCCCUCCCGAGAGGUUUUAGGGCUUGGCGGCGGCUCCGUAUCAUAAAAUGCGAUGAAUCAUUCUCCCUAUUUUUUUCUCCCCGAAAGUGAAUAUAUAGAGUUGGAGUUGAGGUCGGAGGAGCUCCAGGGGGCCCACGAGGUAGGGGGCGCGCCCAGGGGGGCAGGCGCGCCUCCUGAUAUGUCUCCAACGUAUCUAUAAUUUUUCAAUUGCUCCAUGCUAUAUUAUCUACUGUUUUAGACAUUAUUGGGCUUUAUUAUCCACUUUUACAUUAUUUUUGGGACUAACCUAUUAACCGGAGGCCCAACCCAGAAUUGCUGUUUUUUGCCUGUUUUAGGGUUUCGAAGAAAAGGAAUAUCAAACGGAGUCCAAACGAAAUGAAACCUUCGGGAACAUGAUUUUCUUAUCGAAUACAACUCAAGAGACUUGGACCCUACGUCAAGCCAAUCAACAGGAGGCCACGAGGUAGGGGGCGCGCCUGCCCCCCAAGCGUGCCCUCCACCCUUGUGGGCCCCCUGUUGCUCCACCGACGUACUUCUUCCUCCUAUAUAUACCCACGUACCUCCAAACGAUUAGCAGAGGAGCCAAAACCCUAAUUCCACCGCCGUAACUUUCUGUAUCCACGAGAUCCCUUCUUGGGGCCUGUUCCGGAGCUCCGCCGGAGAGGGCAUCGAUCACGGAGGGCUUCUACAUCAACACCAUAGCCUCUCCGAUGAAGUGUGAGUAGUUUACUUCAGACCUACGGGUCCAUAGUUAGUAGCCAGAUGGCUUCUUCUCUCUUUUUGGAUCUCAAUACAAUGUUCUCUCCCUCUCUUGUGGAGAUCUAUUCGAUGUAAUCUUCUUUUUGCGGUGUGUUUGUUGAGACCGAUGAAUUGUGGGUUUAUGAUCAAGUCUAUCUAUGAAUAAUAUUUGAAUCUUCUCUGAAUUCUUUUAUGUAUAAUUGGUUAUCUUUGCAAGUCUCUUCGAAUUAUUAGUUUGGUUUGGCCUACUAGAUUGAUCUUUCUUGCAAUGGGAGAAGUGCUUAGCUUUGGGUUCAAUCUUGUAGUGUCCUUUCCCAGUGACAGUAAGGGCAGCAAGGCACGUAUUGUAUUGUUGCCAUCGAGGAUAUCAAGAUGGGGUUUUCUUCAUACUGCAUGAGUCUAUCCCUCUACAUCAUGUCAUCUUGCUUAAGGCGUUACUCUGUUUUUAACUUAAUGCUCUAGAUGCAUGCUGGAUAGCGGUCGAUGAGUGGAGUAAUAGUAGUAGAUGCAGGCAGGAGUCGGUCUACUUGUCUCAGACGUGAUGCCUAUAUACAUGAUCAUACCUAGAUAUUCUCAUAACUAUGCUCAAUUCUGUCAAUUGCUCAAUAGUAAUUUGUUCACCCACCGUAGAAUACUUAUGCUCUUGAGAGAAGCCACAAGUGAAACCUAUGGCCCCCGGGUCUAUCUUUAUCAUAUCAAUCUCCUACUACUUAGUUAUUUACUUUUCUAUUUACUUUGAUUUUAUUUUACUCUGCAUCUUUAUCAUAAAAAUACCAAAAAUAUUAUCUUAUCAUAUCUAUCAGAUCUCACUCUCAUAAGUGGCCCUAUAGGGAUUGACAACCCCUAUUUGAGUUGGUUACGAGGAUUUAUUUGUUCUAUGCAGGUACGAGGGACUUGCGCGUAGCCUCCUACUGGAUUGAUACCUUGGUUCUCAAAAUCUGAGGGAAAUACUUACGCUACUUUGCUGCAUCAUCCCUUCCUCUUCGGGGAAAACCAACGCAGUGCUAAAAGAGGUAGCACCUCCCACCCUCGUGGCUAGGGUGUGGGCCCCCUGGUCUUGAUCUUUUGCCAGUAUUUUUUAUUAUUUCCAAAAAGACGCUCCGUGGAGUUUCAGGUCAUUCCGAGAACUUUUGUUUCUGCACAUAAAUAACACCAUGGCAAUUCUGCUGAAAACAGCGUUAGUCUGGGUUAGUUCCAUUCAAAUCAUGCAAGUUAGAGUUCAAAACAAGGGCAAAAGUGUUUGGAAAAGUAGAUACGAAAGAGACGUAUCAACUCCCCCAAGCUUAAACCUUUGCUUGUCCUCAAGCAAUUCAGUUGACAAACUGAAAGUGAUAAAUAAAAACUUUUACAAACUCUGUUUGCUCUUGUUGUUGUAAAUAUGUAAAGCCAGCAUUCAAGUUUUCAGCAAAGAUUAUAAACUAACCAUAUUCACAAUAACGACUAGGUCUCAUGUUUACUCAUAUCAAUGGCAUAAUCAACUAGCGAGCAAUAAUAAUAAAUCUCGGAUGACAACACUUUCUCAAAACAAUCAUAAUAUGAUAUAACAGGAUGGUAUCUCGCUAGCCCUUUCUGAGACCGCAAAACAUAAAUGCAGAGCACCUUUAAAGAUCAAGGACUGACUGGACAUUGUAAUUCAUGGUAAAAGAGAUCCAGUCAAGUCAUACUCAAUGUAAACUAACAGUAAUGAAUGCAAAUGACAGCGGUGCUCUCCAACUGGUGCUUUUUAAUAAGAGGAUGAUGACUCAACAUAAAAGUAAAUAGAUAGGCCCUUCACAGAGGGAAGCAUGGAUUUAUAGAGGUGCCAGAGCUCAGUUUUGAAAUAGAGGUGAAUAAUAUUUUGAGCGGUAUACUUUCAUUGUCAACAUAACAACCAAGAGAUGGCGAUAUCUUCCAUGCUACACACAUUAUAGGCGGUUCCCAAAUAGAAUGGUAAAGUUUAUACUCCCCUCCACCAACAAGCAUCAAUCCAUGGCUUGCUCGAAACAACAAGUGCCUCCAACUAACAAGAGUCCCAGGGGGAGUUUUGUUUGCAAUUAUUUUGAUUUAGUUUGCAUAAAGCAUGGGGCUGGGCAUCCCGGUGACCAGCCAUUGUCUCAUUGGUGAGGACUGGAGUCCACUCCUCUUGAGAAUAACCCGCCUAACAUGGAAGAUAUGGGCAACCCUAGUUGAUACAUGAGCUAUUCGAGCAUACAAAACAGGAUAUUUAUUUGAAGGUUUAGAGUUUGGCACAUACAAAUUUACUUGGAACGGCAGGUAGAUACCGUAUAUAGGUAGGUAUGGUGGACUCAUAUGGAAUAACUUUGGGGUUUAUGGGAUUGGAUGCACAAGCAGUAUUCCCGCUUAGUACAGGUGAAGGCUAGAAAAAGACUGGGAAGCGACCAGCUAGAGAGCGACAACAGUCAUGAACAUGCAUUAAAAUUAAUCAACACUGAAUGCAAGCAUGAGUAGGAUAUAAUGCACCAUGAACAUAAAUAUCGUAGAGGCUAUGUUGAUUUUGUUUCAACUACAUGCGUGAACAUGUGCCAAGUCAAGCCACUCAAAUUGUUCAAAAGAGGAUACCACCCUAUCAUACCACAUCACAACCAUUUUAAUAGCAUGUUGGCACGCAAGGUAAACCAUUAUAAGCUCCUACCUAAUUAAGCAUGGCAUAAGAAACUAUGAUCUCUAGUCGUCAUUGCAAACAUGUUUAUUCAUAAUAGGCUGAAUCAAGAAUGAUGAACUAAUCAUAUUUACAAAAACAAGAGAGGUUGAGUUCAUACCAGCUUUUCUCAUCUCAGUCAGUCCAUCAUAUAUCGUCAUAAUUGCCUUUCACUUGCACGACCGAACGAUGUGGAUAAUAAUAAUAGUGCACGUGCAUUGGACUAAGCUGGAAUCUGCAAGCAUUCAAUAAACAGGAGAAGACAAGGCAAUAUGGGCUCUUUUGUCAGAUCAACAAUAAUGCAUAUAAGAGCCACUUCAACAAUUUAAUCAUGGUCUUCUCCUAUCAACCCCCAAAGAAAACAAAAGAAAUAAAACUAUUUACACGGGAAAGCUCCCAACAAGCAAAAGAAGAACAGGAAAUCAUUUUGGGUUUUCUUUUUAAUUACUACUACAAGCAUGGGAAUUAAAACUAGCUAAAAGCUACAACUAAUUUUUUUGUUUUUCUUAAGGUUUAUUAAGCACACAAGAAGAAAGCAUAUAAAGAUAAAAUAAACUAGCAUGGAUAUUACAAUGAAAAAGUAUGAACACCAACAUCUAGCAAUGAGUGUGUGAACAUGAAUGUAAUGUCGGUGAGAAAUACGUACUCCCCCAAGCUUAGGCUUUUGGCCAAAGUUGGUCUAAUUCCACGGAUGGCCUGGCGGAUAUCCAAAGUUGUAGUUGGGGUCAUACUGAGAUGCAACAGUCAUUGCAUCAUGGGUUGCAGCUUGGAGGUGAGCUAUCUCAUCUCUCCUCUUAUACUCUUCCGCCUCCUCUUUGGUUAUAAAAUAUCUCCCUUUUGCCUGAAAGUCAAGGAAAGUAGAAGCAGGGAGAGCGACGUGAUAGGUGCGUCGUCUGUCAAAGAUUAGUCGGUACUGGAGGAACUGAUCGUUCCUCUCAACAAACUGAUGACGAACCAUAGCCUCAUAAUCCAAAUAAGCAGGAGGCAACUCAAUAUCAUCCUCACGUAUGGUUAUACCAAGAAAAUUAGCUAUGCGGGUUGCAUAAAUUCCACCAAAGAAAUCUCCAUUAAAUCUAUUAAGGUGCAACCUACGUGCAACAAUGGCUCCCAAAUUAUAAGAUUUAUCUCCUAACAUGGCACUCCUAAGAAUACUGAGGUCAGAGACACACAUGUGACGUGCUUCAUCUUUACCGUUAAUGCAUCUACCUAUGAAGAGAGAAAAAUAAUGUAUAGCAGGAAAGUGAAUGCUCCCUAUGGUAGCUUGUGCUAUAUCUCUAGAUUCCCCUACAGUUAUACUAUUAAGAAAAUCUCUAAAUUCAGAUUUGUGAGGUUCACUAGUACUACCCCAUUGUGGAAGUUUGCAAGCAGUGUAAAGUCCUCUAAGUCCAUAGUGUAAGAAUUUUCAUAAAGAUCAAACAAGACAGUUUGAGAAUUACGUGAAGAUGAAAAUUCAAACCUCCUCACAAAGGAGCUAGUGAGAUAGUGGUACCGAUAGCACUUUUCUUCCUCGAAGCUCACAAGAUCAGCGUUACGCAAAUAUGCGUUAAAUUCUUCCUUAAUUCCUGCUCGAUCCAUGAAGUCCUCUAAAGGCCAUUCACAAGGCCGCACUGGAGCGUCCCUGGUGGCUCAUCAUCAACAUCACGCAUUGCAAGCCUGGGUCCUUGCUUCCUUGAAGAACCACCUUGGUACAUUUUCCUAAGCAUAUUUCUUCCAAUGAAAAAUUUCUGAAAUUUUUAGUAACUUCAAAUAAAAGUAAACCAUACUCAACAAAAUUGAUAGCAACUACUCCUACAAGUGCCUAGAGCCUAUAUCAUGCAUUAGAACUACUUGGAACCAUAUAAAUUUGACAUGCAAGCUCAAGAACAGGGUCACCUAAGCAGCAAAAAUAUGCCAUGAAUAAAGCACUAGAACAAAAACUAAUUGGACCAAUGUAGGAGUCACAUACCAAGGAACAAUCCCCCCAAGCAGUUUUAUGAGAGGUGCUUUGAGCAAGGAGAUCGAAAAUGGCAGCAAAAUGAGCUUGGACCCGGGUUUGAGCUGGAUAAUGGUGUUUGGGGGAGGAAGAAGGAGCGUGUGGGUGCAGGAAUAAGUGGAGGAGGUCCACCGUUGGCCCACGAGGCAGGGGGGCGCGCCCAAGGGGGUAGGGCACGCCCUCCACCCUCGUGGCCAGGUGGAUGCCCCCCUGUUGUGUUCUCAGUGCCAAAUAUUCUCAAAUAUUCCUGAAAAAAUCAUAUUUAAAUUUUAGGGCAUUUGGAGAACAUUUAUUUUCGGGGUAUUUUUAUAUUGCACGGAUAAUUCAGAUAACAGACAGAAAAUACUAUUUUUAUUUUAUUUAAUAUAAAUAAUAGGAAGUAAAAGGAGGGUACAGAGAGUUGUGUUUUCUAAAUUCAUCCAUCUCAUGAUCAUCAAAAGGAAUCCAUUAACAAGGUUGAUCAAGUCUUGUUAACAAACUCAUUCCGAAUAACAUGGAACCGGAGAAUUUUCGAAUAACACUAGGUUACCUCAACGGGGAUAUGCACAUCCCCAACAAUAAGAAUAUCAUAUUUCUUCUUGACAGUAGGAAGAGGAAAUUCAAAACCUCCAAAAAUAAUUGAUGGAAUUUUUCCAAUAGAAUUAAUACUGUGGACUUGAGGUUGUUUACUCGGAAAGUGUGCCGUAUGCUCAUUACCAUUAACAUGAAAAGUGACAUUGCCUUUGUUGCAAUCAAUAACAGCCCCUGCAGUAUUCAAAAAGGGUCUUCCAAGAACAAUGGACAUACUAUCGUCCUCGGGAAUAUCAAGAAUAACAAAGCCCCUUAAAAUAGUAACGUUUGCAACCACAACAGGCACAUCCUCACAAAUACCAACAGGUAUAGCAGUUGAUUUAUUAGCCAUUUGCAAAGAUAUUUCAGUAGGUGUCAACUUAUUCAAAUCAAGUCUACGAUAUAAAGAGAGAGGCAUAACACUAACACCGGCUCCAAGAUCACAUAAAGCAGUUUUAACAUAGUUUCUUUUAAUGGAGCAUGGUAUAGUGGGUACUCCUGGAUCUCCAAGUUUCUUUGGUAUUCCACCCUUAAAAGUAUAAUUAGCAAGCAUGGUGGAAAUUUCAGCUUCCGGUAUCUUUCUUUUAUUAGUAACAAUUUCUUUCAUGUACUUAGCAUAAGGAUUCAUUUUAAGCAUAUCAGUUUAUCACAUAUGCAAAAAGAUAGGUCUAAUCAUUUCAACAAAGCGCUCAAAAUCCUCAUCAUCCUUUUUCUUGGAUGGUUUGGGAGGAAAAGGCAUGGGUUUCUGAACCCAUGGUUCUCUUUCUUUACCAUGUUUCCUAGCAACAAAGUCUCUCUUAUCAUAACGUUGAUUCUUUGAUUGUGGGUUAUCAAGAUCAACAACAGGUUCAAUUUCUAUAUCAUUAUCAUUGCUAGGUUGAGCAUCAACAUGAACAUUAUCAUUAACAUUAUCACUAGUUUCAGGUUCAUUACCAUAUUAUGUUUCAGCAUCAGAAAUAGAAAUAUAAUUUGGAUUCUUAGGUGUUUCAGUAAUAGGUUCACUAGAAGCAUGCAAAGUACUAUCAUUCUUCUUUUUCUUCCUUUUAGAAGGACUAGGUGCAUCUAUAUUAUUUCUCUGAGAAUCUUGCUCAAUUCUCUUAGGGUGGCCUUCAGGAUACAAAGGUUCCUGAGUCAUUUUACCAGUUCUAAUAGCCACUCUAAUAGCAAAAUCAUUAUUCUUACUAUUCAAUUCAUUGAGCAAAUCAUUUUGAGCUUUAAGUACUUGUUCUACUUGAGUGGUAACCAUAGAAGCAUGUUUACUAAUAAGUUUAAGUUCACCUUUGACAUUAGCCAUAUAAUCACCAAAGUGUUCAAGCAUAUCAGCACUGCGUUUUAAUUCUCUACCAAAAUAAGCAUUGAAGUCUUCUCGCUUAACCAUAAAUUUAUCAAACUCAUCUAAGCAUGGGCUAGCAAACUUAGUAAAUGGGAUUUCAGCUUUAUCAUAUCUAUUGAGAGAAUUUACCUUUACUACCUGUGUCGGGUUAUCAAGACCAUGUAUUUCUUCAAUAGGAGAUGGAUUAAAACUAUGCAUUUCUUCGAAGGCGGUAAAUUAAGACCAUGUAUUUCUUCAAUAGGAGGUAAAUUCUUAACAUCUUCAGCUUUAAUACCCUUUUCUUUUAUGGAUUUCUUUGCCUCUUGCAUAUCUUUAGGACUGAGAAAUAGAACACCUCUCUUCUUCGGAGUUGGUUUAGGAAUAGGCUCAGGAGUUGGCUCAGAAAGUGUCCAAUUAUUUUCAUUAGUCAACAUAUUAUUUAAUAGAAUUUCAGCUUCAUCCGGUGUUCUUUCGCUGAAAACAGAACCAUCACAACUUCCAGGUAAUCUCUGGAAGCAUCGGUUAGUCCAUUAUAAAAGAUAUCAAGUAUUUCAUUUUUCUUAAGAGGAUGAUCAGGCAAAGCAUUAAGUAAUUGGAGAAGCCUCCCCCAAGCUUGUGGGAGGCUCUCUUCUUCAAUUUGCACAAAAUUAUAUAUAUCCCUUAGGGCAGCUUUUUUCUUAUGAGCAGGGAAAUAUUUAGCAGAGAAGUAAUAAAUCAUAUCCUGGGGACUGCGCACACAACCAGGCUCAAGAGAAUUAAACCAUAUCUUAGCAUCACCCUUUAAUGAGAACGGAAAUAAUUUAAGGAUAUAAAAGUAGUGAGUUCUCUCAUCGUUACUGAACAGGGUAGCUAUAUCAUUUAAUUUAGUAAGAUGUGCCACAACAGUUUCAGAUUCAUAGCCAUAAAAAGGAUCAGAUUCAACCAAAGUAAUUAUAUCAGGAUCAACAGAGAAUUCAUAAUCCUUAUCAGUAACACAGAUAGGUGAACUAGCAAAAGCAGGGUCAGGUUUCAUUCUAGCAUUAAGGGAUUGCUGCUUCCAUUUAGCUAAUAACCUCUUUAGAUCAUAUCUAUCAUUGCAAGCUAAAAUAGCUCUAGUAGCUUCUUCAUCCAUAACAUAACCCUCAGGAACAACAUGCAAUUCAUAUUUAUUAGGGGGAGAGUCUUCAUCAUCACUUUCAUCAAUAUUACCAGUUUCAAUAAUUUCAUUCUCUCUAGCCCUAGCAAGUUGUUCAUCAAGAAAUUCACCAAGUGGCAUAGUAGUAUCAAGCGUAGAAGUAGUUUCAUCAUAAGUAUCAUGCAUAGCAGAAGUGGCAUCAUCAAUAAUAUGCGACAUAUCAGAAUCAAUAGCAGAAGCAGGUUUAGGUGUCGCAAGCUUACUCAAAACAGAAGGUGAAUCAAGUGCAGAGCUAGAUGGCAGUUCCUUACCUCCCCUCGUAGUUGAGGGAUAAAUCUUGGUUUUUGGAUCUCUCAAGUUCUUCAUAAUGAUAAGCAGAUAUAAAUCCCAAGUGACUCAAAGAAUAGAGCUAUGCUCCCCGGCAACAACGCCAGAGUCUUGAUAACCCACAAGUAUAGGGGAUCGCAAUAGUUUUCGAGGGUAGAGUAUUCAACCCAAAUUUAUUGAUUCGACACAAGGGGAGCCAAAGAAUAUUCUCAAGUAUUAGCAGUUGAGUUGUCAAUUCAACCACACCUGGAAACUUAAUAUCUGCAGCAAAGUAAUAUGAUAGUAGUGGUAACAAUAGCAAAAGGUAAUGAUAACAAAAGUAAUGUUUUUGGUGUUUUGUAGUGAUUAUAGCAAUAGCAACGGAAAAGUAAAUAAGCAAAGAAUAAUAUAUGGAAAGCUCGUAGGCAAUGGAUCGGUGAUAGAGAAUUAUGCCGGAUCCGGUUCAUCAUGUAACAGUCAUAAUCUAGGGUGACACAGAACUAGCUCCAAUUCAUCAAUGUAAUGUAGGCAUGUAUUCCAAAUAUAGUCAUACGUGCUUAUGGAAAAGAACUUGCAUGACAUCUUUUGUCCUACCCUCCCGUGGCAGCAGGGUCCUAGCGGAAACUAAGGGAUAUUAAGGCCUCCUUUUAAUAGAGUACCAGACCAAAGCAUUAACACAUAGUGAAUACAUGAACUCCUCAAACUACGGUCAUCACCGGGAGUGGUCCCGAUUAUUGUCACUUCGGGGUUGCCGGAUCAUAACACAUAGUAGGUGACUAUAGACUUGCAAGAUAGGAUCAAGAACUCUCAUAUAUUGAUGAAAACAUAAUAGGUUCAGAUCUGAAAUCAUGGCACUCGGGCCCUAGUGACAAGCAUUAAGCAUAGCAAAGUCAUAGCAACAUCAAUCUCAGAACAUAGUGGAUACUAGGGAUCAACCCCUAACAAAACUAACUCGAUUACAUGAUAAAUCUCAUCCAACCCAUCACCAUCCAGCAAGCCUACGAUGGAAUUACUCACGCAUGGCGGUGAGCAUCAUGAAAUUGGUGAUGGAGGAUGGUUGAUGAUGACGAUGGCGACGGAUUCCCCUCUACGGAGCCCCGAACAGACUCCAGAUCAGCCCUCCCGAGAGGUUUUAGGGCUUGGCGGCGACUCCAUAUCGUAAAACGCGAUGAACCCUUCUCCUUGAUUUUUUCUCCCCAAAAGUGAAUAUAUAGAGUUGGAGUUGAGGUCGGAGGAGCUCCAGGGGGCCCAUGAGGUAGGGGGGCCGCGCCCAGGGGGGCAGGCGCGCCCCCACCCUCGUGGCUAGGGUGUGGGCCCCUGGUCUUGCUCUUUUGCCAGUAUUUUUUUAUUAUUUCCAAAAAGACGCUCCGUGGAGUUUCAGGUCAUUCCGAGAACUUUUGUUUCUGGACAUAAAUAACACCAUGGCAAUUCUGCUGAAAACAACGUCAGCCCGGGUUAGUUCCAUUCAAAUCAUGCAAGUUCGAGUCCAAAACAAGGGCAAAAGUGUUUGGAAAAGUAGAUACGGCAGAGCCCAUAUUACCUUGUCUUCUCUCUUGAAUUGAAUGCUUGCAGAUUCCAGCUUAGUCCAAUGCACGUGCAAUAUUAUUAUUAUUAUCCACACUAUUCGGUCGUGUAAGUGAAAGGCAAUAAUGAUGAUUAUAUGAUGAACUUAUUGAGAUGAGAAAAGCUGGUAUGAACUCGACCUCUCUUGUUUUUGUAAAUAUGACCAGUCCAUCGUUCCUGAUUCAGCCUAUUAUGAAAGAAACAUGUUUGCAAUGACAAUUAGAGAUUGUAGUUGCUUAUGCUAUGCUUAAUUAGCUAGGAGUUUAUAAUGGUUUACCUUGCGUGCCAACAUGCUAUUAAAAUGGUUGUGAUGUGGUAUGAUAGGGUGGUAUCCUCGUUUGAACGAUUCGAGUGGCUUGACUUGGCACAUGUUCACGCAUGUAGUUGAAACAAAAUCAACAUAGCCUCUAUGAUAUUUAUGUUCAUGGUGCAUUAUAUCCUACUCAUGCUUGCAUUCGGUGUUGAUUAAUUUUAAUGCAUGUUCAUGACUAUUGUCGCUCUCUAGAUGGUCUCUUCCCAAUCUUUUUCUAGCCUUCACUUGUACUAAGCGGGAAUACUACUUGUGCAUCCAAUUCCAUAAACCCCAAAGUUAUUCCAUAUGAGUCCACCAUACCUGUGACGUCCGGAUAAUUAAGCUACAGUAAACCCCUCUUAAUGAUGCUAGGUCAUCAUAAUAAAAAGAAGAAUUAUAAAUCUCAUUUGUUUCGAACUAAGUUCAAACACUACAAAAAAAGACACUUCCGUGAUGAUACAUGUUUGUCACAGUAGGUCGCUUUUUUUGUCAUGCAUGUACAUCCAUGACAAAUUUAUGGCAGAAUCAAGAUAGUCAUACCUGUGAUGUCGUAGAAGUGUUCCAUGACAUUACCAAAAUUAUCAUCACGGAAGUGUCCACUUCCAUGACAAUAAAUCGCGCGUCACAGAAGUGCUUUCGUCAAGGGUGACCGACACGUGGCAUCCACCGUAACGGAACACCGUUAAGCUAUCGGGUCGGGUUUUGGAUCCGGUAACCCAUUAACAGCCCCGACCAAUGGGGAUUUUCCACGUGUAAAAUCAUCAUUGGCUAGAGGAAACAUGUGUCGGCUCAUCGUUGGGACAUAUUUUUUUUUGAGACAACAUCGUUGGGACAUAUGUCAUCCACUCACUGGACAGAAGGCACCUAUGAUACGUCGACACGUGGCAUGGCCCAACAGUGGCCCAUUCCUGUGAAAAGGCCGGCCCAUUUGACUUGGUCAAAAGCUGGCGGGCCGGCCCAUGGAAAGCCUAUUAACGGCCUGUUCGCAUAUAGCCCAUUUACAGCCCGCUAACCCAAGGCCCGUUAUGCCCUAUCCGAAUUAGGCCUAGUAGCGUCAUCUGGGCCGUCCAAUAUGAUUCCAGCCCGUUUUCACUUCUGGCUCAUAUAUAGCCCAUGACGUCUUUCGGCCCAUAUGAGGCCCUUUGUAACUCUUGGCCCAUUAGCGGCCCAUGCUGAAACUGGCCCGUAAUGAACAGUGUAUUACUUUACACCCAUUAACGGCCCGUGGUGAAACUGGCCCGUAAUGAACAGUGUAUCACUUUAUACCCAUUAACGGCCCGUUAUUCUGUUGGGCCGUUUCCAGCCCAAGUUAACUUUCGGCCUUCUGAGGGCCCAUUUAUUCUUGGGCUCAUUUGCAGCAUUCGGUUACUUACGGCUUGUUACUGUCAUUUUCUGUUUGUGGGCCAAAUUCAGCCCGUCGUUACAGUCGGCCCGUUUGUGGACCGUUAGUCUGUUGGGCCAUUUUCAUAGCAUCACCAAAUACAGCCUAUUAACGACCCAUUAUGGUCAGCCCAUAAAAUGUACGAUUUCCAUUAAAGGCCCAUCUACGGCCCAUUAAAGGCCCGUACAAGACCCAUAAAUGAGCCGGCGGCCCAUGGAUCCUACGAGACGUACAAGGCCCAUGGAUCCUACGAGAUGUAGAAGGCCCAUGGAUCUUACGAGAUGUAGAAGGCCCAUGGAUCCUACGAGACGUAGAAGGCCCAUGGAUCUGAUGGCCCGUGAAGGGCCAUGGUCGGGCGAAUUGGCCCCCGUUUGAACGAUAUAGCAUAUUCAAAGAAUUAUCCUACUCAAUACUAUCACCUCUAAAAAGCCUACACUAUUACAACAAAGAGAUCAAGGCAUAGAAAGGUAGAAUAAUCCUACACUAUACAAUAAAGAAAUUACAGCCGAUUAUACCCACUGGGCAUUAUGGUUCGGCACAGGUGAUAAUAAAGCAUACACAAACAACAAAUUACAUACAUUGGGCAAAUACAGCUCAUACAUCAUGGACGCGCAUCAACUUAACUCCAUUUGAACUAUAAUCUCUUCAGGAAAUAGGAUUGGCCGGAUUCAGAUAGCACAAAUUUCAGUCUGCAAAAUCUCCAAUUCCUUCAUGGUUACCUCAGUGUCUUGUUUCAUUUUUUUGACUCCUGCAUCUAAUACCUGCAUGUCCAGUCUCAACUUGUUGAUUAUACGUUGACAAUCAUGUACAUGUUGUCUUGCCACCUCUAGUUGAUGCUCGAGAACAUCAGCACAUUCCAAUUCCAAUCCAUAAUCAUUCGGUAACGGCCAUGUCGCACUGCUCGCAGAUCUUUGUGUUGAUGUCACUUCAUCCUGAAAUGUUUCUGUAAGUACACGUGACUAGGGCAAAAAUAUAGUUACAACAGUGAAGCGAACAAGAUACUAUUUUGUACUACAUGGCAAAACAGGACUAACAAUAAUGUUGCACGUCACUUUCAAAAAAAAUGUUACACAUCAUGAAGCAUAAGCAGGUGAUAUUUUAAAAAUUAUAAAAAAGAUAGUCUGUGCAGCCUGCAUACAGAAAUCCCUCUUAGCUCACCAGAGGAGCAUGAUGUUGGGGCCCAAUCGAAAACAUAGACAAGUUACAAAUUUAGACAGCAUGUUGCGUAUAAGUAAGCAAGCAGUUGGCCAUUCUGUGCCUCAAUUAAAGUCUUAGGGAGCAUAAUGAACAACAGAGGGUUUCAUACAAACAUACUACAGCAGGCAAAACUAUGCAAUCAUUAGCGUAGUAUAAACUAGAUUGUGAGCCUCAUGCAAUAAUAGUUGGUUAAUAGACUUCAAAGCUUCAGGCACACUUCGGCAGAGUAAUUAAAUGGUAAGGCCUUUAAUUAUGUCAACUAAUAGUGAUACAAGUACCGAACAUCACGCAUGAUUAUUUGGGCAUCUCAUUAACUGAGGAAAAAUAAAGCAAUUGAAAAGAGAAAAUUAACUAUGCCUGAAACAAACAAGGAAUUGAACUGUUGAGUUGCAUACAGUGACUUACCUUAGCAGGUUGAAGAGGCUCAACGCAGCUCCUACUUCUCUUGCAAGGAUCCUUCCUAACAUCUUUUACUUGGAAAUCCUCAAUCUUAUCUUCAUUGCACCCCCUCUGCAAGGUGACACAAACUAGUUACUCGUCUCCUUGGAAGAUAAAUAUGCAUACUUUCCAGUCCGUGAACACAAAAGGAUGAGAUUAUAACAAAACACCACCACAUAAUUAUGUCAACUAGUUACUCGUCUCCUUGGAAGAUAAAUAUGCAUACUUUCCUAACAUACUUGCCUACUAUAGUGUAUAGCCAAACCUUUAUGUCACCUAUGAGUUAGACAAGGCCCCAUUACAACAACCCUUAGUGUUUAAAUCGUUGACAAGCUCUGUUAGAGUGUUAGGUCAAGAAUAACAAGUAAUCAAAGCAAACAGUCCUAGUAUGGCUGGCUAAUGCAAACAAGCAAUUGAACAGAUGUGUGAGCAAAUCUUACAUAUCAAGAAAAGAAGCAAAUAAGGAGGCUUAAAGACCAUCACUUGACUGACCAGAUUUAAGGGGCAUUUAAACAUCAUGUGCAACGUAUGAACUAACAUAAACAUUGCAUAUUCCAGAUUCUACAAUGGAAUGCACAUGUGUUAGGUUAUGCCAUGUAUGAUGAUGCCUAAAUGUACAGAUAGCAGGCAUGAGUGAUUCAUCAUUGCACGCACAAUUGAAUUGCAGGUUAAGGGCCAGUUUGAUUAUGCCUUUUCAGGGCAUAUUGUCAAAAUAAGCCACAAAAGAUGUAAAGAAGUCAUUUUUGAGUUAUGGGCUUGGGCUUAACUAAUUUCGCUUUGGAGGGGGCUGUUUUGGGUAGAACCUCACUAAAAAUUGAAGGGAAGGGGAAUAGUGAAAUGACUCUGUUGUCUGCCUAUAUUACACUCAAAAUGCAACUGCUGACGCCCGUGUCACACCUGACCCUCAAGUAAAAACAAACACGCAAGCAUUCAUUGCCCUGCCAGCCAGACCGGACCUAUUAUGUAGAUGAGGGCGGUAUUGUAACUGUUGGUCUCCGUGCACCAAGGACAAAAGGGGGAUUUCACAUGCUAAAGACUAAGGUGGCGUAAAUUUUAGAAGGAGGCGGGAGAUUUUGCCGCCCGCGGGAUCGUUCGCAUCCAGUUUCAACUAAUUUUGGACCGUGUUAGCGGGAAGGUCAUGCUAGACUGUGUACACGGGGCACACGUCAGCAGUUAAUAACUGGUGUGAAGUCCACCCCAGAAAAAAGACAAUAACUCGGGGUGAUGCGCCGAUAACUUGGACGUUCACACGGGCGCGGCCAAUCGUACGGGUGUAGUGGCGCGUUCACAAAAAAGGGAUCAAACGCUCAGCCUAUGUAUUUCUCGUGUAAAUAGAUAAUUUAGUGCCAUUGGUUAUUUACUUUAAAUAUAAUGCAUUGACGUGUCAGUGUAGAGGCGCACAAAAAGAAAUGGAUAUUGUAGUCAGCUACUUAAAAGUGUUACCUCAUAUGAUUACAUAGCCUCCAUUUCAUAAAUUGCAUACCUGUUGAAUUCAUAUAUGAAUAUUACAUAUAUUACUUCAAAAUAGAAACUUAAAUCAUCCAAGACUAAUGAAUUUGAAUGCAAGAGUAACAAUGGUGCAUGUUCAUGAUAGCUACAUUGGUUGUUUGAAGAAACAUCACUGUAACUUUGGCAUGCACAACUAAAAAGGCUUAUUUAAAUAGAAAAAAAUGUGAUAUGUGAGUGUCCAAUCUUUAUAGCGUUGAAUCGAUAUUGUACCUUUGGCCACGAUACGAAGUAGAUAUUGACUUAUGUUCAAGCGAUGCACGUCCACGAUCGCUAGAUAGUGAUACGUGAAUGAAUUGUGCAAUCUCUCUCACACGCAUACAUAUCUCAUUUCCCUGUGGGCAUCGGAAUCACACACGCGCACUUCGUGUAUUUCUCUCCCUCCGUCAGGGUUAAAUUCGUCUUUCUACCCUGUCCUACAAGUCUCUCACAUAGAAACACACACGCUCUCUAUGUCUAACACGCCCACCCCUUGAAUUCCGCCCACCCACAGCCACUAAUGUCUCUCACACAUAUGCUAUCUACCUAUCCCUUAAUAUAGCUAGAUAUGUGUCACACAAACUCCUUCUCCCUACUAGCAAGAUGCCCAUGCGUUGCACGGAACAUCAAGAUGCAUUUGUAUGAGAAGUUUAUCUUGUGGGAGAAAAGGAUGAACGAGGGAAUGCCUUAUUUGCAAAUGCGGAGAGGGGUGUGGGUAUCUUUUUGCAAAAUUGCCAUAGUUUCCUUCCUGUCCGUCAGAUAUAAAUCGGAUUGCCUAUAUUGCAGGAUGGCAGGAACACCAUCAUCACCAACUCUGUUUUUUUAUAAGAGUAGAGAUAUGUGAGUGUCAUUGCCCCCCCCCCACACACCCACACUUCCCAACACCGAAGGAGUAGGGUGACACCUCGAUUUUGAUACUAAUCUAUCGACUGGCUUCUUUCUCAAACACACACACACACACACUACCCGACACCGAAGGAGUAGGGUGGAACAUCGAUCUUGAUAAUAAUCUAUCUACUCCUCUUUCAAACACACACACACACACACAAACACACACACAAACACUUGCUAGUUGUGCCUCUGUGCCUACCGCGCACACUCUCAAUACGUCUUUCUCUCCCUCCCCCCAACAAUGACAACAGAAGGGUGACAACUCGAUCUGAUCAUAAUCUGUCAAUUGGUUUCUCUCUCAAACAUUGUGUCUUGGUAGCCCCCUCGAUAUGUAGACUUCUCGCACGCGCACAACUAUAGUGACGAUGACGCUGAACCCAGUGUGCCUUGUUUUUACCGGCCUCAUGUGAUGUUUUUCACCCUGUUUUCUGUUAAUUAACAAGGCAACCUUUUCUUUGUUACUACUAGUGAAUCUGAAAUCAUUCGGGGCAGACAUAAAAUAUAUCACUUCAACCCAAUUCUCGCAGGAACUAUUUUAAAAGAAAUUAGCUAGCUGCCCGUGCGUUGCACGGAACAUCAAGAUGCAUUUGUAUGAGUAGUUUAUCUUGUGAGAGAAAAGGUUGAAUGAGGGAAGGCCUUAUUUGCGAACGCGGAGAGGCGUGUGGGUAUAUUGUUGCAAAAUUGCCAUAGUUUCUUUCCUAUCCGUUAGAUAUAAAUCCGACGGCCUAUAUUGCAGGAUGGCACGCACACCAUCAUCACCAACUCUUUUUCUACUCCCUCCGUCCGAAAAUACUAGUCAUCAAAAUGGAUAAAAAGAGAUGUAUCUAAAACUAAAAUAUGUCUAGACACAUUUCCUUUUAUCCAUUUUGAUGACAAGUAUUUCCGGACAUUACCAACAUACUCAAAAAAGUAGUCCAUAAUUUUGAUGUUACCCUCUUUUCUUGGCGGUGCAUUGCCAUCUGGAUACCUCAUAAAUAAAUCAAGGACAAAUCUGACCCCUUCCUGAAAAGACAUACGGAGCAAAAUGAGUGAAUCUACACUCUAAAAUAUGUCUCAUUACACAUCUGUAUGUAGUAGUCCAUUUGAAAUCUGAAAAAGACAAAUAUUUAGGAACGAAUGGAGUAUAUAUAAGAGUAGACAUGGAGAUAUAUCUCCAGCAUGAUCUACAACAAAAAUGUGCUGGGCUGGUUAAGGCCGGAUGCUCGCAACGUGAUGACAUGAGUUCGAAUUCUGUCUUUUAAAUUUAUAUUUUUAUAUUAUAUAUUACUCUACUUAUUUAAUAUAUACUUCUUUCGCUACUGUACUGACAGUGGAACCCACAGAGUACUUAGAAUACAAGAUUAAGGAUGGACUUGUUUCUUUUUAACUUUCUGUACGAAGUUGUAGCCACCCUGCAAGUUACGUGUACACUGUACAUGCAAUUAACUUUUUAUAGAGGGACAAUCAUAUAGGCAAUUAACUCAAAUGGAUUGGAUGUCACCAACAUAAAGAGCAUCUCCAACGGCAGCCGACAAAUUUCCUCCUGCUUCCUUAAGCGGAGGACGACAUCAAACGUCAGCGGCAUACAUUUUUACAACUCUAAUCAACCAGAUGAAAUUCGUGCAAACACGGACUGAUUUCAUAUAAGCAUGAAGGAUUUCAUAUAAAAAGCUGGAUCUUCAUAUAAACAUGAUGGAUUUCAUUACAUUUACAUGAACUAAGAGGUGCCAAUCCGGCUCUCUUGUAUAAUUAAUACUCCCUCCGUCCAGAAAUACUUGCCCUAGAAAUGGAUGUAUAUAGACUUAUUUUAGUUCUAAAUGGCCGCCCGUAGAUCCCUUUGUCUUCCUCAUGUCCGUCAGACACUUGCGGGGUCGACGAAGGUCCUCGGAAGAGACGAAGCAGCAAAGAAACCACCUGAAUCCGCGGUCGUCACCUCGGCGGUGGCCUUCAUGGGUCCCAAGUGGCGGCGGCCUCCCGUGUUCUACUUCUCCUCGAUGAUGGCGGCAGACAUGGAGAAGCUGGCCACCUUCUCGUCGCUCUCCAUGCACCCGGCUUCUGUCUCUGCCUGCAUGGCGCUGCUGCAGGCACGGGAGGCGCGCCCACAGACACGGGAGGCGCGGCCACCGCAGACACUGGUGGCGCGGUACGACGCGGCAGCGACGGCGCCCGUACCGGUGUGCUCGCCGCCGUGCCGGCGUGGAGCAACUCGCCACUCCUCAUCAAGCUGAACUGGAGCGGCGAGUUGCUGAACCACGCGCCUGAUUGGGGCGACAACUGGCUCCGUCGGGCCAAGCGAGGUUGGUGAAGCACCGAGCGACCUCGCCCGUAUCCGGAGGGCUCGGCGGGCCACCCAGCCGGGUAAUAUGCCGGUGAACGGCUCAUCGGAAGCCAUCGGAAGAGUGGAGAAAAUGGUGAAGGAGGAGAUGGGGAAGCGGCGGAGGGGUGCGAUUCUUGCCCGCUGUCUGUCUGGCCUCGUGUAAAUAGAGAGCGAACGGUAGGAGCUUGGCUGGCGUCUGGUCUCGUUUAAACUGAGGGCAGACGAGAGGAGCUCGACCGGUGUUGCGUUUAAUUCCGGCCCGCUCAUGAACGGACGUGUGGCCGGAGUAGGAUUCUCGGUUUGCAUGCGGGUUUAAUGGAGGGGCUUAAUGGAGGCGCCGGGCGUGCAGCGGGCGGCGCAGUACUAUUCGAUUUGACAGCAGUAAUGAGCCGGCAAAUCACAAAGGCCAUCGCCUCUCGUGAAACUGACCGAGCUAGACUGCCCCGCCCUCUAGCCUUUUAAAAAAUGUAUAUACUCCACUUUUGUACAGUAGUACUAUUAAAAAGGCUUGUCACAAUAAUGGUGUCCAGCAUAAGUGCACAACCCACCCCUCAAAUAAAACUAAGCACCCUAUAAUUCUUUGACAAAACUAAGCACCCUAAAAUUCUUUGAUAACUAAACUGCUGGCUAUAUGAUGUUGGCCAUAUAUAUUGUACGUAUAUAAUGUGAAGAAACGAGUGGUUUUUGUAAGAUGACUUAAUACUCACCUAGACGGAGGGAGUAUUCGAUUUGACAGCGGGCGACACAGUUCCCGAUACGGCUUUAAUGCAGAUGAGGGAGGGAGUAGCGGUUCCCGAUAUGUUGAACGGCCAAUGCAUCCUCCUUCAAUUAAUGCAUGAGGGAAGUAAUGGGAGGAGGUCCGGGAAAAGAGGCUGCACGAUGUGAAUGCAACGCAGUUUGCCCUCAUUGCCCAUAUAUAAAGGUGCCCCUCCAUUCCAAUGCAUCUACCACAUCGUACGCACCUAAGCAUUUGCCUAAGCACCUACACUAAGCACAAAAGAGCUCACUCCAGACCCAUGGCGGUGAUGCGCGUGAGCGGCCUGCGGCUGCGCCAUAUGGUCCACGACGCCGGCCUGCGGCAUGGCGCCGAGGAUCGUCUCCAGACGGUGUUGGAGACCGGCUGGUGGAUGGCCGCCGUCGACGCCAACUACGACUCUCAGUUGGACCAGAUGAUCGUUGACACUAGCAACAAGUUCACCUUCAUCAAGAAGCUCACGGAUGACAUCGCCGUACUCCUCCAGCCCGCGCACUCGGGCUUCUCAUUGCCUGCCACCCUAAUCGGCCUCCAUGGCCGGAACCUCUUUCAAGCAUUGGUGGCCCUGCGACUGCCCGCCGACGCCAUGAAGGAUGUCCACCUGGAGGUCGCGCUCGCCGCGAGGCGCCUCGCCCUGCAAGAAUUCGUCGACCUAAACAUCCACGUGUACGAGCAAAUUAUGUACAUAGGUAUCUACAAGGCCAGUGAGGACGCUACAACAUUGGCCUUCCUCAACCGGCUGGAAGCCUUGGAUGCCUUUGCUGAGAAGCACCUCGACCUCGCCACAAAAGCCACCGCUCCUUAGCCGCCGGUCGGUGGCCCGGCGCACUAAGUUGAGGAGGAGGAGGUCGUACGUUCGUGGAUCCAUCUUUCUUCUUGCCUUCUGUAACCACCACUGCGAUCGCAUCAUCGUGGCCUUAAUUCUUAUUUUGUUGUUGCAUUCUCGUUCCAGUCAAUACCGACAUGUGCGAUCCCUUUGCUUAAUUAUAUGCAUCACUGUAACUAGUACUCCAUCCGUCAAUUUAUAAGUUGUGCUUACCUUUUCCAUCAACUUCGUGCAACGCACGGGCAUCUUGCUAGAAACACUACUCCCUCCGUCUAGGUGAAUAAGUCAUCUUAGAUUGUGUGUAUGUCAUGUGGGGCCUUAGUGUAGCUUGCCUAAGGUGUGGCUUGAACCAAACACUCACCUAAGUUAAUCAAACUUGCCUAACCUUACAUUCCACGAGAUUUUGCCACAUGUUAGAAUCCAGAAAGCUCCACAUGUAGAAGCAUAAUGCACAAACCACCAGAAUCUCAUGCGUGCAAUGCACGUAUACCUUACUAGUACUAGUUGGUAGGAGUAGUAGGAAGAAACAAAUUCCAGUUUUGGCACGAGCUCGUACUGCGGGAGCACCACAAGGCCUACCGCAGGAGUUACAUUUCCCUCUCGGGGCCCACGGGACCGAACUUCAGUGGCUUAGUGCCCGGCCUAUGAGUCAAUGACAUGCGGACCUUAAAUGCGGCUGGCCCACAUGUCAUUCUCAUGGUGGUGGCAUGGUUCGCGACUCACUCGUUCAAGAUGAACCGGGCGGUGGUGGCGUGGCCAUGGUGAGGGUGCCACAGCUGGGCGUCGGGGCAUUACGAGGCGUAGAUGGCCACACCAGCGGGCACUACCUGUAGUACAUAAGUACUCCAACUGAGGAUUGAUGCCCGGGACAAAAUGUGUCACAACCGCUGGAUGAAAAUUCGAUGGUGCGGGAGUACGGAUUGGAGCACAGCAGCGGAGUAGGAAAACCGCAUCCAAUCGGGUGUGUCUAUGGUAGAAAGUUGAUGGUCGCCGUAGUUCAGCUGGCCCGCAUGUCAUGCACACAAAGGCAGAGGAGCGGUGGGGUCGAGAGGGAUGAGGGGCACGUCGGGGGGAUGAGGAUCCCCUGACGUGAACAAUCCUACCAAUCUGUCACUGACAUGUGGGACCCAUAAGCAUGGGUCCCACCCGUCAGCGAAGGAAAGGCAGGGCAAGGCAGUGAUAGCCACGUCAGAGGAUCCAUGUCCACGUCGGGGGACGUCGUGCCGUGGGUUGGAGCGGCGUCGUGGGAAUCGCGUGUGGGUGUGGCAGUGGUAGAAACAAGAAACGUGAUGGUCACUGUGGUUCAACUUCCAUGGACAAGCUGUCAUGUCUGCUGACACAUGUAUAUCAAAACUAGAGUGUUUAUAUUUCAAGCACGUGAACAAGUAUUAUUCUACUACUUUGGAUCCAUUGCAACGCAUGGGCCAUCACAUUGGUAGUAGUAGUGUCCAUCUCUAUCUCUAGAGGCCUUCCCUCGUUCAUCCUUUUCUCUCACAAGAUAAACUACUCAUACAAAUGCAUCUUGAUGUUCCGUGGAACGCACGAGGAUGUUUCCUUGGGGGUCUCUCCAGCGCGGUGUGGCCGUAGUUGCAAGUUGACGCCCCUUGAGAUGCCGACGUUGAGGGGCACUUGGAUUUCCUCAGAUGAGCAGGUAAGAUGAGUUUGAUCACGUAGUAAAUGCAUUCUAAAGACUACUUCUGUGUCCAUUUCCUAAUUCUCCCCCUGCCUACUGUUUCACAGGUUAGGCUCGGUGCGAGUGGAGAUUGGCUUGCAUAUGUACGGGAGGGUACCAACAUCAAUUUGCACAACAUUUACAACGGUGAAACCAUUCCCGUAGAACCUUUGUCCAACAUUGGGAUCAGCCAUGCAACGGGCCACCGCAUGAAUUGGUACGAUGGAACCACGGUGAGAUUGAGUAAGAUAGCACGAACCUUGCACAUGGCGGUCAAAGGCGGACCAUGCUGUCUGCGGCCGAUUUGUUGUCGUACGAGUAGGAAGACGCUGUGCCCCUUUCUAACCGCAUCUUCACGGUGACAAACCAGGGGACUUAUUUUGUAUGGGACACAUCCUACGAUAUACUCCCUUUCUCCCAGUUUAUGUGUUUUGAAUCUUUUCAUUUUAUAAGUUUCAAAUUCAAAUUUAGAGCUCCCCAUCACAUGUUGAGAUUACAAUGUCCAUUAAAUCGUUGCGUGCAUGUAUAGUAAAGAAACAAAUCUUGAGUUUGGCACGAGUUCGUGCUGCAGGAGCACCACAAGCCCUGGUGUAGGAGUUACAUUUCCCUCUUAGGGCCGUCGGGACUGAGCUUCAACGCCUUACUACACCUACCUUUGAGUCAAUAACAUGUGGACCCGAUAGGUGACUGGUCCACAUGUAAUGCUCCCGUAGGCAGAGGGGCAGUGGGGCCAAGAGGGGUGAGCCACAGGUCGGGGGACGUGUGGUUUCAUGGGUUCGAGCGGCGUUGUGGGAAUCGUGGGUGGCUGUGGUAGAAACUUGAUGCUCGCCGCAUUUUAGGUGGCCCACAUGGCAUGCACACAAAGGCAGAGGGGCGGUGCGGCCGAGAGGGGUGAGGCGCACGUCGGGGGGCAUGGUGCCGUGGGUUGGAGAGGCGUCGUGGGAAUCGCGAGAUGAAACAUGAUGGUCGCCGUAGUUGAACUUCCAUGGACAAGUUGUCAUGUCUACGGACACAUGCACUACAUACCGAUCACUGGAAGGAGUAGCAGAUAAAGCUAUAUAUGCGGAUAAAUAGUUCCUUAUAGUCAAGCGGACCCACGCUACUACUCUGUUCCAAAGACAUGGACACCAUCGAAAUAGUCCAUCUAUAUCAAUAUACACCGAGACAGAUUAAUUUUUUUUACAAGAGAGGAAAUAGUUCAUCCAUCCAUAAUGCCCUCCUGCUGGUGCAGCCUUUUCUUCUUCUUCUUCUUCUUCUUCUUCUUCUUCUUCUUCUUCUUCUUCUUCUUCUUCUUCUUCUUCUUCUUCUUCUUCUUCUUCUUCUUCUUCUUCUUCUUCUUGUUCUCAUUCUCUGUGGGAGACGGCUUCACAACAAGCUCUUUGGAACUUGCAGCUAUCUCAAAACUCACAUGGGCAUCGAGGGCAGCAUAUUUUAUCCGCUCGUACAUCAAGGGAUAAUUCUCCCAUCCAGACGACCUUAAUGCCACUGUCUCGUCACCCUUCUGAAGAUUUGUACCGAGCACAAAAUUUGCUACGUCGAAUAGGGAUGGUGUCUGUUUAUCACAAACUUCUACAGGAAUUUUGAUUCUGGUUUGUAGGUCAGCGAUGCUAUUCAAAUCAAGGUUGUACAGCUCCAGCUUCUGUUUGUCCCCUUCGAUGGCUGCCCCACAGAAGUAUACGUCCUCCCGAGACAAGAAAUCGUGAAGCUCACCUGGUAUGGAGGGCGAGUGUAUGAUGUGGUACACCAAAACAUCAUCUUCGAGGCACAGCUGAAGGACGGUGGCGCGCUGGAUCUUCCCAGGGGCACGCUCCGUGUACUCUGCGUCGAGACCGAUGACCCUCGUCUCUACCUUUUCGAGGGAGUUGGACACAUUGUUGAUCCACUGCCAAACAACCCUUGGGUGGAUGGUGACGGUAGCAACUAUGCGCAUCGAGCCUUCGACGAGGACAUGUUGGACGCUAAAAACCUGCAUCUCGAUCUCUAUCGCCAUUUGGAACCGCUGGAACGGAGGGCUAUGGUUUGGAGAAUUAGGAUUAGAUGGCUAGUCUAACUGAAGUAGUAGAUGAUUAUUUAAAGAGGAUAAAACAAUGUGAACGCAGUGGGGUUUGGAUGCAAAUGAAGACGAAGGGGAGGUGAAGAAGUCGAGGAGAAUCGGUUCCCGAUGGAGAAGUAAAUGGGAGAAGUGGCGUGCAGGCAGUUGAUUAGACGGCUAGGUAGACUAAACGAAAAGUCUAUGCGGGUAGACUGAUGAGUCGUACCUGUUCGUGUACGUGCCCAUCCUUCCUGAUAGGUGGGACCUAUGCAAACAGAUAAAAAAAUGUGUCGUGGUUUUUUUUAGCGUGUGAGUGGGAGACACAACAUUCUCUGGUUAAGGAAUACUCCCUCCGUUUAGGUGAGUAUAAGUCACCUUAUGAAAAUCAGGUUUUCCCAAAACCUUUAGGCGUGGAGCAUUAACUUCCUGCUCGAUCCCCUCCCAGCCUCGUUAGCCAGCGUUCUCUUCCUUUGCUGCCGCGUUCUACCUUUCCAUUUUUCCUCUUCUCAAGUGUGGAACGAUCUGCAUGCCGUCCUUGAUGCACCAGAACGACCAGUGCAUGCAUCACGACAGAGCGUUGAUUGGGCAUGCACGAAAAUUUGGUUCUGCUCGCAAUAUGGAUGAUACCUGAACGAUGAAGUGAACAGGCAUGCUAGCACGGGAGACCUAUUUACACUAUACAAUACUGGAGUACUCAUGUACCUACUACUACUAGUAGUAGUAGUACAACUGUGGUACACUUGAUGGUCAAAAUACUAUUCAUCCGGUCCUCAGAGUGAAGUGACAACACCCUGCGCCUGACACUAGUCCAGGCGGCGUGUUUGGGUUACCAAAGUCAGCCUCACCCUAUGCACAGUGCAGUCUGUCACCGCCGCUGUACAGCACAUUGGCACCUCGCCUCGUCUCCCUCUCCGCUCCCAUAGCACCACUCCAUCUCCAUCUACUUCUCCGUCUCCAUGUCAUUGUGCCCCCGUGUACCGUCACCUCACUCGCCUCCCCCAGUACCACUAUUCCCUCGCUAGCCGCUCCAGGACCGACAUUCUUCUCCCUCGUAAAUCAAGCCCCCUUCCAAACUCCACCAUGGCCGAACGCGAACCGCGCAACAUCCAUAUGAGCCACGAUUGGAGCAAUCUCCCCAGUGACAUCCUCGACCUCUGUUAUUCGUGUAUGGAUAUGUUGAGCACCCUGCGGCUGGCUGCAUGCUCGAGGGACAUGCACACGACCAUCGUCGAAGCGAGGCCUAAGCUUUUCAAGACACCCUGCUUGCUGCUAUCUGGUCUUGCGAGAUUAGCUCACCAUGAUACGGAGGCGUGCAUGAUGCCCCUCGACUUCAAUCCGAUCUCCAUUAGCCGAAACUUCUUUGCAGGUAUGUAGUGGGUCGCCGUACAUCAUUUCCCUCGACAUCGAUCUGAUCACCAUCGCCUGAAACUUCUUGGCAGGUAUGUACUGGGUCGGCAUGAACUCCCACUGGAUGGCUGCCUUCAGAGAAGACAGUAAAAAGUUGGUGCUCGUGAACUUCCAGACCUCCCAUGAGAUUAUCCUUCCUCCGUUGGAUUAUAUAGAGUAUUACCAUCGCGGUCCAAGUCAUCUAGAUUACUACGUCAGUUGGACGGACCUUGUUUUGCAGAAGAUUGUAAUCUGCCAAGUGCCCACACGACAUGCGAAUUACACAGACCUCAAGCUAAUUGCCUUGUUCGACCGUGGACUCGCCUAUCUUUACGCCGGUGCCUUCUUUAGCUGGAGACAACUCGGCUAGCAGUGGAUCAUCGUCAAAGCUGAUACACACUUCUGUGAUGCUAUUGAACACAAUGCCAUCACCUACGUGAUCGACAAAGCAGAUGGCACCAUGUAUUGCUGGGACGGCGCGUGUAAGUUGUUUCCUCUCAUGUUAAUGAUGACGCCAUGACACUGUUUGAACUUUUUGUGAUGAUUGGCAUAUCUCUAUUUGAGCAGAAUUUGAGUAGAACUAUGGCAAUGUAUUAGAGAUGCCGUAAAUCAGCUAUAUUUGGAAUGAGUUAAUUCAUGCGAUUGUGACCAUGUCAUUACAGCCAAUUUGUACCCUAAAUAAUCAAACGGUUAGGAAUAUAUGGAUAUUAUCCUUAUUUUACAGUAAUCUAUAUACUACUACUAAAUAUGAGUGUGUAUCAAUGGCCAUGUUAGUUUCCUCAUUUUCAUGAUGUAGAAACAUGCAACACACUAUUGGUUUCAUCUGACCAUACACUAGGGAAGUAAAUGUGCAUAUGGAGAACCCUAUAUUUGGAAGUAGUGAAAUCCUGCAAUGCUUACCAUGUGUACAUACCUAUAUUCGCCCUUCAGCAAUCAAUGACUAGAAUAAUAUCCUCACAAAUUUUUGCCCACAGAACACGAGUAUAUAACAAUGCAUGGUCUGUUAGUUACCUUGAAGAAUUUGUUUGUGAGGAGAGAACAUGAUUAUAUAACAUGCAUGACAUGGUAGUUUCCUGUGAAGAAUCGAUUGCGAGAUAACACGAGUAUAACCAUGCAUGGCACUUCUAUAUUUUCGAACCCAGUAUACAUUUCCCUGUAUUUUCCUCCCAGUUCCAACAGGGACAUAUCAAUGCUGUUUCUUGCAUUAUCCUACUCAUACUCUGAACAAUGCUGAUCUUACAUUAACAAUGCAUGUCCUUUUUGAUAUGAUGUAGUGUCCCUACAGUUACUGCCCUUUGUAAUCACACCACCUUUGCCAAAAACAGGGAAGCACAACUGGUUCCUCGCUCGAUCAGACGACGACAAAAGACUGAUGAUCAUUCGGACACAUGAGCUGGAAAAUUUAUAUUGCAAAAACCCCAUUGUAUACAAGCACCGUGUAAUACAUGAGUAUCCGGACAGUGGCUGUUACGUCUAUGAGUAGGAUACCAGCUUGUUGGGGCCUUUAGGAUUUUUUAGUUGGAGGCGGGUAACCAGCCUUGGUUCACACUCUCUGUUUCUCGGACUCAAUUAUCCGAUUAACCAGGAGAUCACCGUUGGCAAGGACCUUGAUGGCAGAGAGGCUCUAUUUGCUAUGGAAACUGUGUCUACACGGCGAGCCCUAGGAGUUCGGGAGCAAACUCCCCUGAUUGUCAACGAUACAUCCUGCAGCCAAAAGAAGGUGAGAAUGACAAAGGCAUCCGGAUUAACUUUGAUCCUUGGAUGUCUCAAUUACGAUAGGCAGUGAUGUGGUUCGAGCCUUCAGGUUGAUAGGUAAUUGGGCUGUUGCAUCGAAAGGGUGGAGUACUGGUGUCUCCGGAUCACUGGUCGCUGAAGCGGGGCUGCAAAUUAUGAUGGUGUUGGAUUAUCUCUUCGAAUGACUUUGUUGUCUUUGCUGCUGGUUCUGGAUGGGUAGUUCUUUCUUUUGUUAUGCAUAUUCCUUGUCAUUUGGUCAUCCUCGUCUAUGUCACUCUUACUAUGUAAUAGUUGCUUCUGUUUAGAAUGUCAUUCUCGUCUGGAUCACGAGAGUCUGAGCGCUGCAGAUGGGUGCGUUUUGGUGGUGUAGCAAGACUUCUUAUGAACUAUCAUGUCUUGAUGUUUAUGUCAGUAGUAGUCACUAGUCAGUGUUUGAAUGUUGUAUAUAUCGUUGUUUCAAACUGUUUAUUGUCUCGAACUACUGGUGGGCUAAAUGAGGGCAUCACCAUUCUCCAGUGUUCAGAGUAUAUCUCCUUUUUUCAAGUUAUAUAAUUUGAGCUCAGUGUCUUUUCGAUGAUGUACACUUGUUUGGGCCAGUGAGGUGUUGUUGAAUAUGGGCCGAGUAGUAACACAAUGCCAAACAGGUCAAUUAUGACUCUCAGGCCGAGCUCUCAAAAGAUCCUGAAAAAAGGCCGGGCUCUCCAAAAAAGAAAGAAUAAGGACUCUUAGGCCGACAUGUGGGCACCACCGGUGUUUUCGUGCGCUUGCGCGCCGAGAGCAUAUUGGUGUGUGCUCGAAAUUCAUGCUACCUUUUCAUCCGCAGUNNNNNNNNNNNNNNNNNNNNNNNNNNNNNNNNNNNNNNNNNNNNNNNNNNNNNNNNNNNNNNNNNNNNNNNNNNNNNNNNNNNNNNNNNNNNNNNNNNNNNNNNNNNNNNNNNNNNNNNNNNNNNNNNNNNNNNNNNNNNNNNNNNNNNNNNNNNNNNNNNNNNNNNNNNNNNNNNNNNNNNNNNNNNNNNNNNNNNNNNNNNNNNNNNNNNNNNNNNNNNAAAUCCCCCUCCUGUACUCCCUGUACUCAAGCGCACUAUCAUGUCGCCGGUCAACACGGAUCUCCGAGCUGGAGAUCCUGAGGUCCGUCCUGCCUUCGGUCGCUGCGUGCUGUCGCUCAACAGUGGCAUGGCGGCGCUUGACGACCAGUUUGCCGGCAAAGUGCUGAUGGUAACCAUCAACGGCGACCGGCCUCCCGUCUCGCCAGAUGACCUUGUCAAAGCUCUUGGCAUUGCGCACGGCAUCCAAAUAAGUGACUUGCUCGUUGAAGUUUGUCCGCCACCGGCUGAUUUCUUUGUCAGGUUACGGACAACUUUCGACUGCAGUCGUGUGUUCGAAUCUUCCCGGCGUUUGUUCUGCGAUGGCACGCUGGUGAGCUUUGAUCGGUGGCACCCAGGAUGGGGCUCGGUGCCCUCUGAGCUUGAGUUUUUAACAAAGCUUACCUUCCAUGGAAUGCCUCGACGUGCUUGGAAGAGCGAGUCCAUGAACGAGCUUAUCAACGACCUUGGAGGUGAGCUCGUAAGUUUGUUUGUUCCUCCAGACAGCUGGGCUCUGACGGUUAUGGCAUGGAUGAAGAAGCCGUCCACCAUACCGAAGGUGAUUGGUGUUGAGAUACCGGUGCAGGAACCGGGGUUGUACUAUUCAUCGCCACCAAGGCCGCCGUGGACCACGUUAGGGAUGUACCUGUAUCGAGUGUUCGUGCAUGUCAAAGAAGUGGUCAAUCCAUCAAUCGAAGUCCUGCCGCCGCCGCUGGUGCCAGGGUCCGUCGACAACUUCCAUUACAGGAGUCAACGUCAGACUUUCCCCGUGUUGCUCGGAACGAUGGAUGGCACAGGGCCUACUCCAUCGCGCGGCGGAGGCCACUGCUUCUUUGGGAGAAGAGGCAGGGCUGGCUGCCUGGAUGUGCUCUAAUUUGAGGUAACAAUUGAAUCUUGUCAGAUACUAGUUAAAUCCGAGCUAUGGGUGUGAAGCACUGAUAUGCCAGUACAAUUGAUUGUGACCUGUUCUAAUUUUGUACCUGAACUUUUUUUAGAAAGGGUUGUACGUCAACUUAAUGUGCUAGGAGAACUUAUUGUGUUGUCUGUCUGUUUUCUUUGCACAACAUUCAAGAUAUUUCCCCAUCAUUGAUAAAGACGAUGAACUGUUAUGUACGACUUCGUUGGUUUCAACAUAGCCCUUCCCGUAGCGAUCCACUGCUUCCAUCCUGAUUGUGCCGCCUGCGUGAAAUUUUUGUAUGCAAGUUCAGUGUGCUAUGAUGUUCUAUAUGAUUGUGUCAACUAUAUAAGUUUUUACUGAGCAUCAGCAAUGCAUAUGGCUGAAAGAUGUAUUUACGAGCAUCGGCCAAUGGGUCUCUCUCUCUCUCUCUCUCACACACACACACACACACACGCACAAGUGGGACCCGUUGAAUUAUUUAUUUUCUCAUGACAACUUUUAAUUAGGUUCCACUGUAAUCUAACUUUUUUCUUAAGUUAUUAAUUGAGCUCAGUGAUUUCAAAAAGUUGUACAGAAGCCUUGUUUGGGCCUUUCCGGCAUCGCUGAAUGUGGGCUGAGUAACCAUGUUAGGUUGUACUGUACUACACAGGCCUUUUUUGCUAUUUUUUUAAAUAAUACAUUUUUAUUAAUUUUCAUAAAUAUUACGCUGGGUAAUUUUUUUCAAAAAUAAUACACCGUCAGCCCGCUGCAGGCCGACUGGGCCUAGUCGGCCCACAACAGGCCGAUUGGAUUCCAGUCGGCCUACAGCUGGCCGACUGGCCCCUGUCGGCCCACCGUGGGCUGAUUGGGUCCUGUCGGCCCACUGUGGGCCGACUGGAGCUAAUUGGCUCGCUGUGGGCUAAUUGUUUUUGUAAAAGUGUUAAUCAUGUAUUUAAAAAAUAUGUGUAUUGUGACCUCCUCCGCUCGCUGUGGGCCCACUGUUGACUAAAAAAUAUGUUUUAAAAAGUGUUAAUCAUGUAUUUAAAAAUUGUUAAAUGUGUGUAUAAAGAAUGUUCCUUAUCUAUACAAAUUUUUUUAAAUGUGUGUAUAAAAAAUAGUUUUUUUCAACAUCAGCAAUGCAACUGGGCCGACAGUUGUACACAAUAUCCGGGUCAACUUGUUAUUCUCCGCUCCGCUGGGCUGCAAACUUUCCUAGGAGGUAUGCAUUAGGCUUAACAAGAAAAUGGACUUUAAAAAAUAAUAAAUGGGAUGUAAUUAUAAUAACUGGACAAUUACUAUGCACCAAACACGUAAUUAGUUUGAAAAAUAUAUUAUUUUUGGAAUUUGAAAUUUUUAAUUUCAUUACUUGUUGCGCGCGCAAUAUUUUGUUGGAUUUUAAUGUAAUACAACUUUAUUUUGAAAUUAUAUUUAACCUGACUAGAAAUUUCAGAUAAAAAUAUUUCGGAUCCCAUCAAAAUGUGGGAUUUUUUUUGAAUUCUGUUUUGAGCGGUUGUUUGAAAUUAUUAAUCGUUGUCCUAGCUAGAAGUUGGGUUGUACUUUUAACAAACUAUAAAUGGGCUAUAAAUGGGCUGUAGUAAAUUCCAUUAGAAUUAAAAAAUGGGCUGUACAUUCUUACAAAUCGCAAAUGGGCUAUAUGUUCUCUGCCAAAUCCAAGCUGUGGGCCUACUAAGUUGACGUGUACCAAGGGCUUUGUCAACUUAGUUAAUAUAAACGAUUCUAGCUGCAGUGAUCGUACGAUGUCCAUCCAACGGCCGUAGUGCUUCUUCUACCUCUGGUCUUCUUGGUCCAGCCGCCCAAAGCAGCGCCGGUCGUGCCGCCUGCUCCUGCCUCCCGUGGCCGGCUGUGCUGCCGCGGAGGCCUCACCGCCCCCAUACUACUCCCAUCGCUGGCCAGGCCAUCCCUCCACUCACCCACAACCCCUGUUAUUCUGCGGCGACGGCAGCCUCACACCGCAGCCGAACCAGUGAACCCUCGUACUCCUCUCCGCACGGGCUUCCACUGUUGCGUCUUCCUCAGCUCCGCGUCAUCUCCUUCCUAGGCCUCGUCGUCGUCCAGACCACCGCCCUAGUGCUCUCGGCGCGGCGUGGUCAACAUGGUCAACGACCGACUUCCAACGGAAGAGUACUGUGCGUGGAGAGGCUGACAGCUGGGUCCACGGUAGCCGCAAGGAAGUGCCUCCUUAUUACGCGCAAAAUAAUUAUUCCUCCACCUGACAGCGGGGACCCACCGGACGGGCCACCGUAUUUCACGAAAAAAUGAUUCGCCCCCUGACUGCUGGGACCCACGAGCUACAUCUUCGCACGCAAGGAAGUGCAUCAAAAAAAACGAUUCGCCCCCCUGACUGCUGGGACCCACCAGCCCCCUGACUGUUGGGACCCAUCAGCUACACCUUCGCAUGCAAGGAAGUGCGUCCGGGCAAAAAAAACAAAACGAUUCGCCCCCUGACUGCUGGGACCCACCAGCUACACCUUCGCAGGCAAGGAAGUGCCUGACAGUCGGGACCCACCUGGUUGAAGCGUACGUAGUGUUGUCAUUCUGGUCGUGAACGUGUACGUACAUACUGGUCGAUGUAGAGGCGCGCACGUGUCGUAGUAGAGGCGCGCACGUAGCAUGUACACGUACGUAUAGCGGCCAGGGUGCAAGAAAGAAAAUACGGCCACGUAUGUGUACAUACGGGCGGGGUCUCGAAUGCCUACUCGCGCAUACGUAUGACCAGUGCUCGUGUACAUGGCUGGGUCGGAAUGGAGAAACAGCGUCGUCGUCGUGUUCAUGGGGAGGCAACAGAAUGCGUCGUGUUCAUGGGGAGGCAACGGAAUGCGUCGUGUUCAUGGGGAGGCAACGGAAUGCGUCGUGUUCAUCGGGAGGGGUUGGAUGGAACAGGCGAUGGAAACGAGGCUUGGCGUACCGCAGAACAGAGGAAACGGCCUUGUGUUCGACCGGCCAUGUUUGAAACAGGAUCAUGUUCAUCGGGAGGGGUCUGGCGUACUGCAAAACGGAGGAAACAGACCUCCUACGAUCGAAACGGGGGUCCUGUUGAUCGGGAGGGGUGUGGCGUACCGCAAAACGGACGAAAUAGACUUGUGUUGGAGCGCUACGGUCGAAACGGGGGUCCUGUUCAUCGGGAGGGGUGUGGCGUACCGCAAAAUGGGACUCCAUGGGAUACUGUUCAUCUCCACCGUCGUCCUCCUCUAGCCUCCACGGGCUCCUGUUCAUCCAGCCUCCACGGGCUCCUGUUCAUCCAGCCUCCACCGCGCGCUACUCCACCGGCUAUGUUCAACCACCCCUACACCGUCUACUNNNNNNNNNNNNNNNNNNNNNNNNNNNNNNNNNNNNNNNNNNNNNNNNNNNNNNNNNNNNNNNNNNNNNNNNNNNNNNNNNNNNNNNNNNNNNNNNNNNNNNNNNNNNNNNNNNNNNNNNNNNNNNNNNNNNNNNNNNNNNNNNNNNNNNNNNNNNNNNNNNNNNNNNNNNNNNNNNNNNNNNNNNNNNNNNNNNNNNNNNNNNNNNNNNNNNNNNNNNNNNNNNNNNNNNNNNNNNNNNNNNNNNNNNNNNNNNNNNNNNNNNNNNNNNNNNNNNNNNNNNNNNNNNNCCCUCCACCGUCUACUGUUCAUCCGGCCCUCCACACCACGGGGUCCUGUUCAACCACCCCUCCACCAUCUACUGUUCAUCCAGCCCUCCACACCACGGGGUCCUGUUCAUCCACCCCUCCACGGGCACCCCUCAACCGUCAACUGUUCAUCCAGCCCUCCACCACACCACGGGGUCCUAUUCAUCCAGAGGCAACGCCACCGCUCACUGUUCAUCCACCCCCCCGCAACGCUCGCUGUUUAUCCCAUCGAUCGGCUUCAGUUAGCAGUAGUAGCUAAGGAAUCACUCGAUCGGGUUCAGUUAACAGCCAUCGAUCGAUCGCUCGGGUUCAGCAACGCAUAGCCUGCAGUGCAAUCGCUCGGGUUCAGUUAGAGCCCAACGCCUCGCUCAGGUUCAGUUAGAGCCAACGCCUCGCACACACGCGCGUACUUGUACGAGAGAAACGCGCAUCGCUCGGCCCCUGACCUCCCACCAUAACCGGGAACUCCCCGAAAUUUUCCUCCCCCUUGCUUCUACCAUGGUUUUUUUCCGUCAUGGACGACCCAAAGAAUGUCAUGCAACUGCGUCUCCGGCCCACCCAGGACGAAAAGCCAUUUUUUGUCAUGAUUUUUUGUCAUAGAAGUAGGAGCCCACCACACCUAUGAUGAUACCGGGUUUUGUCACAAUUAUCGUCAUAGAAGUGUCAUAUGUAUGACAAAAAAAAAA